This 73255-nucleotide long non-coding RNA is filed under the name Fragaria vesca (wild strawberry). RNAcentral describes it as "long non-coding RNA (FVES_LNC002251)". The record is from RNAcentral. Lineage: Eukaryota; Viridiplantae; Streptophyta; Magnoliopsida; Rosales; Rosaceae.
UACCUCCUCUCUCUCUCUCUCUCUCUCUCUCUCUCUCUCUCUCUCUCUCUCUCUCUCUUUCUCUCUCUCUCUCUCUCACACACAUUUAAAACCCAUCAGCCAGCCAUGGCUUCCCACUUUUCUCUCUCCGCUGUUUCUCUCAUCACCCUCCUCUUCCUUGCCGGACACCGCCUCAUCCAUCACCAUCAGCGUCACCUAUUCCGCCUCCACAGUCUCCACCUGCCCCACGCCUCUGCUACCGGAGCGCGUGGCCUCGACCAUCACUUCUCUCAGCCUCGCCGCCCUCCGCCUUGACGUCUCUGACCCCAACCUCAUCUGCGCCUUCCUCUACUCUAACACCACCCUCCUCCUCACCAUCCCCAACGCGCUGGUGUCCCACCUCUGGCCGCCAACCGCACCAACGCCCUCUAGUGGCUCACCGUUCAACACUUCCAAUUCCCAAAUCUGAAAAUUUUAGGGAUUGAAACCCCCAAUUCCCAAAUCUGUUUCCAAUCAAACAAAUGGCUUCAAUUUCAUAUAGAGGAAGGGGAGGCGAGCGAGAAGAGGUUGUUGGCUGGGGAUUCGAAGUGGUUGAGAUUUCAAGUCUAGCACGGGUUUGAAGCGAAAAACGGAAAGACUUCAUGGAUGGUGUUGUUUAGGGUUUGGUUGGUGGCGAAGGGAGAAGAUUGUUGUGAGGGUUUGAGUUUUGGGCUUCGGGAGAGAGAUGCGAGGUAGGUGGGUUUGAGUUUUUAGCGUCGGGAGAGAGAUGUCGAGGAGCUGCGGGGUGAGCUACUGGUGGUGUGGUUGGUUGCUGGUGGUUUGGUUGCGGUGUGUUUGAUUACGGUGUUGAUGUGGUUGGUUGCUGGUGGUGUGGUUGGUUGGUUGCUGGUAUUGUUGUUGCGGUGUUGUUGAAGGUCCAACUGGUGGUGUGGUUGGUUGGUUGGUUGCUGGUAUUGUUGUUGCGGUGUUGUUGAAGGUCCAACUGGUGAUGUGGUGGCGUUGUGGUUGCGGAGGAGGUGGAGGAGGAGACAGAAGAGAUUGAAGAGAUUAAGGAGGGAGGGAGGGAGGGUGUUAAAUGGAAUUUCCAGUUGAAAAAUAUGUCCAGUCAGUAACUUAACCACUGAUUUGGACGACCACUUAACGGAUGGACCUAAUUGUGUGACAUUGGAUAGUUAAUGGAGUAAUCGAUUGAAAUUGAAAGUUAAUGGAGUAAACUGUCAAGCGCAUAAAAGUUAAUGGAGUGACCAGUAAUUAAUUCAUAAGAAAAACAUAAAUAGAGCAAACCCAAAGACAACUCCCACAAAGUGAGCCCAACCCCAUCUCUUACCCAUAUUGAGCCUACUAGCAGCUUUCAAGCCCAAAGACCCACACCAACAUAUCACCAUCCCUUCUGACCCCAAAGGAAAAACUGUGACACCCCAGCCACCAACGCCGCCUUCCCGCGGCCGUUGAGCAACCACAACGCCGCAAUUACAAUUCUGAUAAUGAUCGCCUAAAGCAACCCAACACCUGUGAAAACAAAGAACCCCUGCAAUUGGAUCUGGAAGCAUCGACCCCACAAGCCAUUGAAAAAGCCAGCAUUGAUUUGCACCAUCCGGCCAAUCGGAUUUUCCGGCCAACACAACAAACACCUCGUUGACCCAACAAAAGCUAGAUCCUCUGUCGAUCCCAGCUCGCUUCCACGACUGAAGAAAUAUCUAAACACAAAGAUUGCGGAAGCUUUUCUUCUAUAUUUCUUGAUAAAACUUUACGAGGUUUAAUAACAAGUAUAUAUAGAUACAAUGAGAAUCGUAUAAGGAAAGCUAAAGCAAACUCAACCACAGCCACAACUGUGGCACCGAAACCGAGGUCACCAACUUGGUCUCUAAUUUGUAGCAACAGAGAGACAAGCUACAACAGCCAACUUGUUGUUUUAGAAAAAGGGGACCAGGGAGACCACCAGUACUUGGUAGCACACCAGCAGUACAUGAUAGCACAGCUGUAGCUUCUAAAGUCAAUUUGAACUAGAUUAGUUCAAUUAGAACUUAUCUCUAACUCUCAAUACUCCCCCUCAAGCUGGAUCAAGAGGAUUCAUUGAGCCAAGCUUGCCCAAAAUACGAUGAAAAUGGAAUGUUGAAAGAGACUUGGUGAAGAUAUCAGCGAGCUGAUCAUAGCUGCGAGUGUAAUGAGUGACAAUGAGCUUGGACUGAACUUGAGCUCGAAUAUAGUGACAAUCAAUUUCGAUGUGCUUGGUCCUUUCAUGAAAAACAGGAUUGGAAGCAAUGUGCAUGGCAGCUUGAUUAUCACAAUAGAGAGAUUGGUUGACUACAAGGGGAUCCCAAAUCAGAGAGCAAACCCUUCAGCCAAAUAAGCUCACAAGCAGUAGCAGGCAUUGCCCUAUAUUUAGUUUCUGCGCUAGAACGAGCCACAACCGUUUGCUUCUUACUCUUCCAUGUAACUACAUUUCCCCCAACAAAGGUGCAAAAACCAGUAGUGGACUUUCGAUCAAGUGAGUUACCAGCCCAAUUCGCAUCAGUAUACCCCAUGAUGUUAGCAUUGCCAUUGUUUUUCAACAAAAUUUCUCUACCAGCAGAGCCUUUAAGAUAGCGAAGAAUCCUCUUAACAAUGUGAAGAUGAGCUUGAGUAGGAGCUUGCAUAAAUUGACUAACAAUACUCACAGGAUAGGUAAUGUCUGGACGAGUGAUUGUAAGGUAGAAUAUUAACUUACCAACCAGCCUUUGAUAAGAUGUCACAUCAGAGAGAAAAGCACUUGAAGUUUCAAACUGAAGCUUGCUAUCCAAAGGAGUGCUAGCUGGUUUGCUAUCCCAAAACUCUGACUCUUUCAACAGAUCAAGAACAUACUUUCUUUGAUUUAGAAACAACUCUUUGUGAGAAGUAGCCAUUUCUAUGCCAAGGAAGUACUUAAGAUGCCCCAAAUCCUUCACUACCAGGACAAGCACUUUAGCCGACGAAAAUUUUUCGUCGGCCUGUCAGCUUAAUUCGUCGGCUAAGAUCUUAGCCGACGACCUUUCGUCGGCUAAGAUUUCGUCGGGAAAAGCUCGUCUGUGGUGACUUUAGCCGACGACACACGUAUAAGUCGUCGGCUAUAGUCCAGACUUUAGCCGACGACAUAAUUUCGUCGGCUAUAGUCCAGACUUNNNNNNNNNNNNNNNNNNNNNNNNNNNNNNNNNNNNNNNNNNNNNNNNNNNNNNNNNNNNNNNNNNNNNNNNNNNNNNNNNNNNNNNNNNNNNNNNNNNNAUCCAUGCUUGCAUUGCUCGUUUCGAAUGGAUCCGGAUUCUUUGUUUGGAUUUAUGUUGUUUGAAUUUGCUUGGAUAUCUUGCAACUAUUAGAUAGAGUAAGGAUGACAUGACGGUUUUAGAUUGUACUUAUUCUAAUGGUUAGAAGUCAUCUAAGCAAAUCCAAACAACAAAAAUUUAAUGGGGUGUAUUGUACUUGGACUUUUAUUUACUUUUUUUAAGUGAUGGAUUUAGAAAGAGUUCAUGGAUUAGAUUAUACUUAAUCUAAUGGUUAGAAGUUAUCUAAGCAAAUUCAAGCAACAUAAAUAUAAAGGAGAUGUAUUGUACUUAGACUUUUAUUAACUUUUUUUAAUUGAUGGAUUUAGAAAGAGUUCAUGGAUUUGAAUCAUUUGAUUGAUUUCUACAGACUCUUUGAUAGAUUUGUAAAAUUUUCAAAAACUUUUAUGAACUCUCCAUAUUAGAUUCAUAUAAACUUUUUAUGAUUUAUAUAAACUUGUUCUUGGAAUUUUGUGGAUUUUAGCAACUUCUGAUGCUAAAUAACUUAUAGCAUAUAUGCAGAUGACCCUCACCAAAUAUAAUAUAAAGGGUGCUGUUAAAUGUACCCAGCAAACUUCUAUGUAGACUCAACAAAACAAUUUUAUAAACAAAGAUAAUUUUAUCCUCGUGUAAAAUGACAUUAACAGUCAUGAUAAUUAAAACAAUAACAAAACAAACCAUGACACUCUUGAACCCAACAUUUUCUAAUGUAUCCAGCAGUAAAACUUGAAAACGUUGUUGAUCCGAGCAAACCUUUAACCAGAACCCAUAAUCAAAAUUAAGUAUACACACAAUGUGUGUUUAUAUAUAACACAUCAUCAAUUAUGUUGCUAUCUAAAUUCCCAGUUCUCUGCCUUUCGGGUUUUUUGUUUUUUUUCCAGAACAUCUAGUUUGAGCUCUGGACUUGGUAACAGCUUCUUCAACUCGUUUUUUGAAAGACCAAGUUCAGUACACUUGAGCAGUCCCUCACGCGCCUUCAUCUUGAGAAAGUUCAUAUAUACAAGGAAUUCGACUCAGCGAGCUUUGGGUUUUAUCAGAUGUGGGUUUAAUUGUUAAUCAUCUUACGAGAUCAAUUCCAAUUGUAAUACAUACCUAAGUACUCUUAACCAUACCUAAUUACCUAUGAUACUGAUCACAGUCCGAGCAACAUCUGCAAAAACUUCGAUGUUGUGAUGACGGACCACUAAAGAAGAAGACAAAUUAAGAUGGAAGAAGGAGCAACAGAUGGAGACAAGGCUGAAGAAAAAUGCACGAGGGAAACAAGAGACAGGUUUGGUUGGGUGUUAAAAGAGAAAAAGGAAGGAAAUCGAUUAGUUUUGCUGGGUUUAACUUUUAACAAAGGGAGGGCAUUUUUGGAAAGUCGCUAGGUGCACUUAGAGAUUUUAUUUUGUUGGCUGUAAAUAGCUUGCAGGGUUUACUUAGAAAUUUGCUAGUUACAUCUAGCAUCACCCUAUGAUAAACCCACAACAUUGCACGCAGUUUAUCAUUAUGAGUUGAUAAAGAUUCAAAACUAAAAUCAUAAACAAAUGCGAAAAGUAAACAAGACAUCAACUAAAGUUCCACCUGAACUGCACAAAUUCAUUCAUAAUGCUAUAGUUUGUAGUGUUUUCAAUGUGGAACAUACAUGUGCAGCACAUAAAAUGACUUAUUGUGAGGCUUUCAGAAUGCUGAGCACACUGCAAAGAAACACAAAGGAAAAGGGGACAUUGUGCAAAAACCAAAGUUUUCAUAUGAAUAGAAGUCGGAAAAAUAAUUACAUUGAGAGUAGCCAAUCUGCAUUACAAUUGACAAAAAGAUUCAGAAUAUUUUGAAUGCCCAGAAAAUGAUUAACAAAUAGUAAAGGAGAAUGUAUGUGCAUAAAAACGCAAUUGGUGAAACUUUACAUAACAACACACAGUGAAGGAGCCUAAAGCAAGUGAGAGGCUCCAAUUUUUGUAUACAAGACAACCCACUUCUAACUUGGGGAAUGGAUGAUAUACACAUAUAACUAUGUCAGAAGGACUAAACCAACUUGUCCAGAGACUAAACAAUCUCCCCAUGCUUGAAUGCACUGCUGGUAUAAUCCACAAGUAGAAUGAUGUAGGACGGAUGGCCGAAGAAAUCGAGGAACAAAUUGAUCGUUGCAGGUCCAAACCCGGUUUGCUGCAGAUUUGGCGUUCGGUGUCCGAAUGACUAUUAAUAUACCUUUCUGGAAGCGGAACGGCCGAACGAACAAGACACGUGGCUUUGCCACGACAUAUGGGCUUUUUCGGCCAUCCGAGUUUGUUUCGGACCUCAAAUCAGCGUUUUAUUAGUUUUUAGGAUUUUAUGUUUCCUAGUUCUUUUCGGAUUGUGUUUUGAUUCAAUCCUUGGGCUUUUAGGUUUGGUUGUUAGUCGCCCUAGGGUUUUGUUUUCCAUAUAUAAGCACCUUUUUGGGUAGCUGAGAGGCAGUUUAUCAAUUAUAAUUCAGAAUUUAAGAGUUUUACUCUUAGUCCUUGGCGCGCUCCAGGUUUUGGUCCUAUAGAGUUUUUCGCUUGAAGACUCUCCACAUAUUAGGGUUUAACGCUGGUUAGCCCCCAUACUCCUGCUGCGUCAUAGAAUCAUACCAUUUAGAACUCCCUUGUAGAAGCUAUCAACCUGUAAACCAAUAAGACCUACAUCUGUCACUAUACUCUCGUUGAAGUCACUGCAUUUCAACCACUUCCCAGGCUUACAAGCCUCACUGCAUUCAAUCGCUCUUGACUUCAACUACGGGCUGCUGCAAGCAUGAAAAAGAUGCAUCGAUUAAUGAAUCAGUUCCAAGAGAUUCCCGAGCUUCACAACCAAGGCUAAUCAAGUUGGACUCAUCCUCAAAGAGGUCUAAUUUCUCAAAGUCGAUGAGUUUCAUAAAAUCCAAUAGUCAUCACUCAUCCAUAGAGCUAGUAUGACUACCAUCAUGCCAAUUCUUUUCCCAAUGGGAUUUAUCAAGCAAAACAGGCCUGCACACAGCCAAUGGGAUUUGACUCCUAUGCAAUGACAAUUCUUUCGCUCAUACAUGAUCAGACUGGCAUAGUAACAAUUUUUCAGCAGAAAACAUAGUAUUAAUUAUACAUGUAUAUAGAUUAUGAAUAGAUAUAUAGAAUCAUUGAUCAAAUUGUAACCGGAAAGAAAGUCCUAACAAAUAGGUUCAAGCACAAAAGAAACGAUGCGAUUAUUUUUGGGGUGUAUUGUUCACAAUCACUUCUAGUAACAAAGUAACAACAAUCAUUUGCAGGCUUCUAGGGCUUGAUAGCAUAAUUUCAAACUCUUUCUGAAAUCGCCUUUUAGGGUUUAUGGUAGGGUUCAUAGUUGAACAGAAUAUGAAUAUAUACGAUACCAAUAAGUUCAAGAACAAACAUGUAAUAGGAAUCAUCACAAUAUCAUGAUGCAAAUCGAAUAAUUUCAAGAACAAAAGAGGAAAAACCCUAACGUCGAGGUUUUCGAUCACGUACCUACGUCGAGCUGUGCUUCGCAAAAAGAAUUCUGUAGAAAUCUUUGGCGUGGAGGUUGGAUUUCUUUGGAGCCUUUCUAUUUAUACUGAAGGCUCUAUAAUCCACAAGAAUCAAAUUCCAUACAAUUCAUAGAUUUUUUAAAUACCCUUGCACUUGUAUGGACUUAUGAAAAGUUUUCAUUGAAUACCUUGAGAUUUUUGUGGACUAGAAAUCUUAACUUUAAAAUCCAGAUUGAAUACCCCAAUUUUUCUAAAAACUCUUUAAAAGUUAUAAUAAAUCAUAAAUAAAUACCCACAAACUUUCAAAGUCUAUAAAAAUCUUCAAAACACCUUAGAAAUCAAAAUACAAUACACCCCCCUAAAUAAAGAAACCAAAUUCAUUUCAGAUAACAGAUUGAUGAACAAGCUACAUAAGACGGUAUGUAGGCUUGGCAAGCAAGUGUUUGGCCUUUGACAAUGACAAACCAAACUUCUCUGUCAUGUUCAAGUCUUGAGGUAGCAUGCCAUUUGGGAGCUCCCAGUUAAAGCAGUGCACCAGCUGUGCCAGUACUAGCCUUACUGUGGUUAGCCCUAAUUGCAUACCCGGACACCCUCUUCGGCCAGUCCCAAAUGGGAUGAGCUGAUAGUCAUGUCCCCGGAGGUCUAUGUUGCUGUUUGUAAACCUUUCCGGAUAGAAUUCCUCAACAUUUUCCGACCAAACAUUGGGAUCCCUUGCAAUGCUCCAGAAAUUCACUAUGAGUCGUGAUUUCUUCGGUAUGUCGUAUCCAUCGAUUGUAAUGUCCUUGAUGGAUUCAUGUGGGACGAGCAAGGGUGCAACUGGGUGUAGUCUGAAGCUCUCCUUGACCACCAGAUUCAAGUAAUCCAGUUUUGGCAAAUCAGACUCUUCUACCAUUCGGUCCAUACCAACCACAGUUUGGAGCUCUUCUUGGAGUUGCUUCAUGAUCCUUGGAUGCCUCAUGAGCUCUGCAAGGCUCCAAAUAAUCGUUGUAGCAGAAGUAUCGAAAGCUGCUGUGAUCAUGUCAAGUAAGAUGGCCUUCACAUUUUCACGAUCAAGAAAAUGAACUUGCUCAUCAUUCGGAUUCAACAGUUGGUUCGUAAACGAAAGCAACACGUCUACAAAGUCCUCAUGCUGGCCUUGUUUUCCACCCUUAGUUUCCGCAGCUUGUUCAUGAUCGUUAAUUAUCUUGUCCAAGAGUUGAUCGGCCGUCUUGCUCACUUUCUUCAAUCGCUUAGUCAAUCCCUGAUAAUUUUUCAAAUUAUGAAAGCAAAAUUAACAUAGAAAAUUAUAUUCAAGGCUACCUUAUACACUAGUCUAUGAUUAAUUGAAUACUUUAUACGAUACUCCAAGAUUUGAUCACCAUGAAAAAGACUACCUUGCUCACUUCAGCAGGAGGCAACAAAUUGAAUCAAAACUGGACCCGUCAACAAUAUAAUAAACUAAUAUGCAGGAGAUAUGGCUCACUAAAUAUAUAUUACCUAGACUAUUAAUAAAAAUAAAAAUCAAUUCUUACUAAAAAAUAUAAAAAAAUCAAUAAAAAUAUAAUAUGCCUAGCUACCCCGAGAAAAGGAAAUCCACUUGAAUUGACAAUUUGGUUUUUGUAUAAGAUGAUUGUUUUACCUAGCAGCUAGCAAAAUACGUCUCUGCACUAGUCACUACUGGCCAUCUCACAUUACUUUCACGAACUUAGUUUCCUAUGUUUGACUUCUAGAUUGUUGAUCCUAAUGUAGUUUGUAGAGACAAAGAAGAUUGAAGAUGUAGUGGGGAUGGUAUGAAAUGUAGUUCGUAGAGACAAAGAAGCUUGAAGAUCUAGUGGGGAUGGUAUGAAAUUUGUGAUAAUUUAGUGUUUGAUACAUGUAAAGGUAGACCAACUCCAAUCCGACUCAUAUAUCAAAUUAUCAAUGCAAUACAAGAAACUAAAGUGUGCGAAUAAUAUCAUCCGAUCCUAAAAUAAAGUGCAUUUGGCCGGAGCUACUAUAUUGUAGGUUGCAUCGGUUCAUAAAUGAAUGAUCGAAGAGAAAUGCCUAUGGGAAAGAGUAGGGAUUAGAAGCUAGCAAACCUGAAUAUCAAAUGCACUGAGGGAAGGAAUGAAAUCAGAAAUAUUGAAAGCCCCGACCAAGAAGAACAUUUCCUCAACGAAGGCUUUCAGAUCAAACUUAUCGUCCCUUUUACACCCCAACACCAUCCUAUACGUUAUGUCCUCAUUCAUCUCACCAAUCUUCUCACUAACAUCCACAACCUCACCUUCCUCUGCUGCUCUCUUCAGCUUUCCCACCAGCCCUCCCAGCUCCUCCUUCCGCAGCGGCGCGAAAGCCUCCAGUUUUGCAGGACAGAAGAGCUGAAGCGUGCAGAUCUUCCUCACAUGGCGCCAAUAGGGACCGUAUUCGGAAAAGGCCAGGCCCUUUGUGCCGUAGGCCAAGUACUCGGAGGCUUGGAUUUUUGGCCGGCUGGCGAAGUUAGUGUCAUGAGUUUUGAGGAAUAGCUCGGCGGCUUUUGGGGAGGAGAUAACAAUGGUAGGAACAUUGCCUAGACGAAGGGACAUGAUGUCUCCGUAUUGUUUGGCCAAGUUUUGGAGAGUUCGAUGGGGAAGGUUGCCUAGCAUGUGGAGGUUUCCGAUUAUGGGAAGUGGCCGAGGGCCGGGUGGUAGUUUUUGGUGUUUUGAUUUUGAGAAGGCAGAGAUGAGUGACCAAAGGCAUGCGAGGAGAACCAGGAGGAUGGCUAUCAUUGUUGGAGGAGUCAUUGUUUCUGGCUUUCUGAUCUGUGUGGAGUUGAGAGUUGAGAGGAAAUAAUGGGGAAGUAUGGGCGAUGACAAGCUCAGCUCAUCUGAUACCAUAAAAGCUAGAGAGAAAGUUUAGAGAAGAAGAUAAGGCUGCAAAUGAAUGAGAGAGAUUACGAGAAGCAUCUGAGGUUACAAGCUUAUAUACAGCUGAAAGAUAAGCACAUGAUAAACACGUGUAGAGCCAACACUGCUGAGAAUAAGUUAAUUAACUAAACAGACUAAUUGUAAUUAGCUUAAGUAAGCACAAACUAGUAACUAAUUAAAGCUCAUAGUCUAACACUGCCGUGAUAUACAUUGUUAACUUAAUCUUUUUCAUCUGAUGACGCAGCCGUAAGAAAAUUUUGGUUUCAAUAGAGGACGACAUUCAACGUUUUUUUGGUCUGCACAGAAAAUAUGUGUGGAGACUGGAGAGUAGGAUCUUAAACACGACUUUUACAAAUCAAGAAUUGUAGUUGUUAGUAUGGACCCUAUUUGGGUAUGUUCCAGAAUCAAGAUAGCAUUAAAGCGAUAAAGGUAAAUGGUCGAUCAUGAGAGCACAGCACAGCUAACAAGUCCUAAUGCUAAUACAUACUAUCGUCAACAGCAUAUGAAGGUGAAUGGUCCAACCUGCCAUCUGCACAAGGAGAAUGGCUUGAUUACGGCAUUAGACUAGUUUUGAAUACAAUCAACAUAUAUGUUACUUCUCAAGGAAAAUUCUAGCCUACAUAUCUGCAUACUAACAUAUCUUGGCCCCCAAUCUACUUCGUUGAUCCCGGCGGCCGAACCGCGCGCUGUCAUUGUCGGCUGUCCAUCAGUCUCCACCCCGACGUCCACCAGCGUUUUAGCAACUCUGACCUAGGUCCAGGCCCUGACUUCCCUCCACAAUGCAAUGGACUGAGUGGAGAACCCCGCCGCGCUGCUCCGCCAAAUCGUGCAUGCAGAUUGUAUUUUGAAGACUAUGGAAUUGAGUACCAUCUUAUAUUUUCUUAGAAGAUACAGAGUUGUACUCUUUAAUUGUUUGGAAGAACACUGAACACUAAAGAAAACAAGCUUAAAAUGAAUCAGCUAGUGGUAUUUGCAUAAUUACAGUUCCGGCCAAAGAAACUUGCUCUUGAAAUCGUGUAUAUGUAACGAACAUAUUGUUACAUAAUAGAAACAACAAUACUGAUGGAAUCGUAUCUUAAUUGCAUUUCGUAUAAUUUUUAAGCUGCAGAAUAAUAGGUGUGGGUGAAUGUUGAGAGCGUAUUCAGCGCACCCGGGUGCGCUGUAUAAUUUUCGGUGAAUAUUUAUUGAAACCCAACAAACUACAUAAGAUUAUUACAUUGAAAAUAUGACCUACAUCAGACGAUUAAGGUUUUUUUUUUUUUAUAAAACAUAAGACGAUAAGUUGGCUUGGCAAGCAAGGGUUUGCCUUUUGAGUUUUGACAUUGAUAAACCAAAAACCUCGCACUCGGACAUGUCCAGUUCUUGAGGUAGCAUGUCAUAUAGGAGCUCCCAGUUAAAGCAACGCACCAGCUGUGCCAGAACCGCCCAGAAGUACCAGCCUAACUGUGGCUAGCCCUAACUGCAUACCUGGACACCCUCUUAGGCCAGACCCGGCCCAAAUGGUAUGAGCUCAAAGUCAUGUCCCAAGAGGUCUACCUUUCUGUUCAUGAACCUUUCAGGAUAAAAUUGCUCCACAUUUUCCGACCAAACGUUGGGAUCUAUUCCAAUGCUCCAGACGUUUACUAUGAUCCUCGACUUCUUGGGUAUGUCAUAUCCAUCGAUUGUAAUGUCGUCGAUGGAUUCAUGCAUGUGGUCCUAGUAAUGGACCAACUGGGUGUAGCCUCAUGCUCUCCUUGAUCACCAUAUUCAAGUAACCCAGCUUCGGCAAGUCAUUCUCUUCCACCAUUCGGUCCAUAUAUACCAACCACAGUUUGGAGCUCUUCUAGCUUGGAGGUUCUUCAUAACCCUUGGAUGCCUCAAGAGCUAGGAAAAUCCCCAAAUAAUUGUUGUAGCUGAAGUAUCAAGAGCCCCCGUGAUCAUGUACGUCUAGUAAGAUGGCUUUCACAUUUGUUCGAUCAAGAUAAUGAACUUGCUCAUCGUUUGGGUUCAACGGUUGGUUCGUUAAGGAAAGCAACACGUCUACAAUGUCAUCAUGCUGGCCUUGUUUCCCACUCCUAGUUUCCGCAACAAUUCAUGGUCGUCAAUUAUCUUGCCCAAGAGUUUAUCGACUGUCUUACUAACUCUCUUCACUCGCUUAGUCAAUCCUUGAUAAAUAACUUACAGAUGCGUUGUAGUAGCUAAACAUCUAAUAAAAGUCAGUAUUACCCCCACCAUCCAAUUUAUUUACGGAUACAUUUUCAGACGUGUUUCCUUUCUGAGAACAUAUUCUGAAAUUACAAGGUGCCGGACAUGCUCUGGUACGGUCGAAAACUUUUGGUGACCGCAGGAAAAAGCCGUAUACGGUGAGGCAAUAAUGACUUUUCGACCCUAUAGUUGUAUGCUAAACACUUACGCACUAAGAUGAAGAGUCAGUUCUGCCCCACUAUCCAGUUUAUUUACAGACGCAUUUCUAAACGUUUCCAGCGUGUUUCCGAACGUUUCUUACGCGUUUCCGAGAACAGAUUAUGUAUCAUAAAGGCACUGAGAACACUCUAGUACGGCUAAAAACUUCCGGGGACUGUCGGAAUAGGCCGGAUACGACGGGAUAUAUAUCCGUAAAUAAGUUGGAUACGUAGAGACAAUAAUGAUGUUGCCUCCCAUAUGUAUACUACAAUUGGGGAGCUCCCAGUUGUGCGUGAACUAGCUGGACCUAACCCAACUGCAAUUAGGCCCAUUUUUAGACCAGACACUCUUUCGCUGAUGAUCCGACCCGACCCAAAUGGUAUCAGAUAAUUUCCAGGGUCAAAAGUGAAAACCAUGAUAGAUUCAAAUUUACAGAGUUGCAGUUACAAUGAAGACCCAGAAUUCUACUCUGCUUCUGUUAAAACCAUUAUUACUACUAUAACCAAUCGUCUCCGACUAGCUGUGGAACCAGAUCUCUGAGACAGAGAGAGGAUCGUUGACCGUUGACCGAUCCAACCAAUGGCUCAGAUCUUCGAGCACUUCGUCGUCUGCGGCAUCGGGCCGGAGAUUCGAACCCUCGACGGCGGCAGAGGAUUCCACGGCUUCGCCGAAAUGUACCUCCCGUCUUUGCUCGACCAGUUCCCUCCCGCCAACCACACUCUCUAUCCUCCUCCACCGCCUCAGCUCCCCACCGUAAGUACCGAAACGACGCCGGUUUUGCUUUGCUCUCUCUCGCCGGAAUCGGCGAAUUCUAAUUUCGGUUGUGGUUUUCUACAGUGUGUGCUGCCAGCUGGCGUUUCGUCGUUUCCGCGGAGCUAUCCCAUUGUUCUUACUGGUAUGAAUGCCUUGAGCUCUCUCGCCUAUUUUGCUUCACUCUGCUCUUAAACGAUGUCGUUUUCUGUAAUUAAUAAAUCUUCUCUUGGAUUCAUUUGGGAGUACUGGAUUAAUUGGAUUUUGGACUCUAGUUACAUUCAUCUUGGCUUGGAAAGGAGCCAAAAGAGUUGGACAUCUGAAGUUGAAUAUGAUGAAUACAAAUUGCUUUAUAGAGUUGCAGGCUUAUUAAAUUACAUCUUAUUGCUGUUUCUAAUUUUCCUUGGUUCUCUCUCAGCGCACCUUCUGUCCUUACUGGUAAAGACCCCAAAUCAGAUCCAUUGGAGCGGGCUGUAAGUCCUAUACUCCUUCUACAUGAUAUCUAGUAGGUUACUUUAGAGCUUUCGUUAGCUAGUGUAAUAUUGUUCAUUCAGGCUGAAAGGGAAUGUAUGGUUUUGAACAUCAAAGUUAAGCUGCAGGUACAUUUUUUUUGGGGUUAAAUAUACAUACUUGUGUACAUUUUUGUUCAACUCUUGUUGUCCUGUUCUACAUUAUCUACUAUUGGUUUUACAGAUGGGAUGAAAAUAAUUGAUGUGCAUGGUUAUGACCUUAUACUAGGAGUUUAUUAUCAUUUCUCUUAACAGAAAAAUUGACUAAAAAAACUCGGUCAAUAAAUUGGCCUGCCAUCUUUUGGUCUCUUUUAGCAUUGUCCAAUGUUUAAAUCCCCAUCAACUGCCACAUCGUUUGCUUAGAUGUGGUGCACCAAACUGUGGGCUAUUUAGUCAAUAUUCAUUCAAUUAAAUGAUUUACUUCUGACUAGUUUUCAAGAUUAAAAACAAGAGAACUAGAAGUAUAGGAUUGAUGGUCUUGAAUCUUGAUACUGUCUGGCCGUUGCUAAAAUGCUAAUCGAUGUGCGUAUGACAAUUACAAUUUUUGGCAUAUAAUAAUGUAAUUAUGUUUGAUGAGCAGGGUCUGUGGCUGCGUCUUCUAAAACUGGGACCUACUGAUAAUCCUCUUUCUUCAUUUGAGUAUGGAACAAUUCUUGGUAUGCCUCUUUGAAUAAUGAACUCUCACAUUUCUUACGAUGAGGCAAACUUCUGAUGUCUAGUUCUUGAAAGUAUAUCUUGCUUGGACCUUACUAUUUUGGCUCUGCAGCUUUAAUUGAAUCGGAUGCAGAGGGGAUUGGUGGCAGUGGGUUUGUUGAAUGUAUAAGGGAGCACAUAAAUUCGGUAUGUUUCUCUUGAAAUAAUUCAUGGUUCUCUCCACCCUCUAGAAGUAUCCAUAAAACAUAAUAUUAAUAGUGGAUUUAUACGCUCUCAGGGAUGGCACUGUCAGUUAACUGAAGAACAAUUUAUUGCUGUGAAGGAACUGGUACAAAUUCUAAGUCAAUAUUCAAAGGAGUGAUCUUAUUUGAUUUAGGAUUAGUAACAGUUUGAGAUUGCAACAUCAAAAGCCAUGGUUAUGUUUUAAACUGUUCUUCACUGAUUCAUCAAUUCCUUUUACUAGUGUUGAUACUAUUUAGUUCAGGAAAAACAUAUAUUGUUCUCAUCAAUAGUUUAACCGCAUGUGGUCUUAAGAGUGUGUGUUUUCUGUUUUGUAGACAAACCAUGAGCGCGAGACAAGUGGGCAGAAUGAUGCUCUGUUUUUGGAAAGUAGGUGCUAUUUUUUCUUGACCGAUGGGUGGAUUCUCAUAGUGAACAAUUGAGUCUAGUUCGAGGAAAUUUUUUUUUUUGUUGAGAUGGUCAUGUAACAUUAAGCAGAGUAUGCUCACAGAUUUUAAUGGUAUAGUUACUUUUAAAUGGUCAUGGUUAUAGUUUGUUUGUUUGUUUUUUUUUUUUCACAAUAUUCAAUCAUGUUUGAGAAAUUGCCAAUUGUGCUUUCAAUAGUACUGAAGAAAACAUUUUAUUAGUUUUUACCCAUGCUUGUGUUGCUCAUUUCGAAUGGAUCCGGAUUCUCUGUUUGGAUAGUUGGAUUUAUGUUGUUUGAAUUUGUUUGGAUGUCUUGUAACUAUUAGAUGAAGUAAGGAUGACAUUACGGUUUUAGAUUAUACUUAAUCUAAUGGUUAGAAAUCAUCCACGUAAAUUUAAGCAACAUAAAUCUAAAUAGAGAAGUCAAAUUCAUUUCGGAUAACAGAUGGAUGAACACGCUACAUAAGACGGUACGUAGGCUUGGCAAGCAAGUGUUUGGCUUUUGACAAUGACAAACCAAACUUCUCUGUCAUGUCCAAGUCUUGGGGUAGCAUGCCAUUUGGGAGCUCCCAGUUAAAGCAAUGCAUCAGCUGUGCCAGAACUAGCCUAACUGUGGUUAGCCCUAAUUGCAUACCCGGACACCCUCUUCGGCCAGUCCCAAAUGGGAUGAGCUGAUAGUCAUGUCCCUGAAGGUCUAUGUUGCUGUUUGUAAACCUUUCCGGACAGAAUUCCUCAACAUUUUCCGACCAAACAUUGGGAUCCCUUGCAAUGCUCCAGAAAUUCACUAUGAGUCGCGAUUUCUUCGGUAUGUCGUAUCCAUCGAUUGUAAUGUCCUUGAUGGAUUCAUGUGGGAGGAGCAAGGGUGCAACUGGGUGUAGUCUGAAGCUCUCCUUGACCACCAGAUUCAAGUAAUCCAGCUUUGGCAAAUCAGAUUCUUCUACCCCUCGGUCCAUACCAACCACAAUUUGGAGCUCUUCUUGGAGUUGCUUCAUGAUCCUUGGAUGCCUCAUGAGCUCUGCAAGGCUCCAAAUAAUCGUUGUAGCAGAAGUAUCGAAAGCCGCUGUGAUCAUGUCAAGUAAGAUGGCCUUCACAUUUUCUCGAUCAAGAAAAUGAACUUGCUCAUCAUUCGGAUUCAACGGUUGUUUCGUAAACGAAAGCAACACAUCUACAAAGUCCUCAUGCUGGCCUUGUUUUCCACCCUCAGUUUCCGCAGCUUGUUCAUGAUCGUCAAUUAUCUUGUCCAAGAGUUGAUCGACCGUUCUGCUCACUUUCUUCAAUCGCUUAGUCAAUCCCUGAUAAUUUUUCAAAUUAUGAAAGCAAAAUUAACAUAGAAAAUUAUAUUCAAGGGUACCUAAUACACUACUAGUAUCCAUGCAUUUAGGCAAUCUAAACUGAGUAUGAUUAACUGAAUACUUUAUUUGAUACUCCAAGAUUUGAUCACCAUGAAAAUGACUACCUUGCUCCCUUCAGCAGGAGGCAACAAAUUGAAUCAAAACUGUACCCGUCAACAAUAUAAAAUAAUAUGCAGGAGAUAUGGCUCACUAAAUAUAUAUUACCANNNNNNNNNNNNNNNNNNNNAAUAAAUAUGCCUAGCUGACCCCGAGAAAAGGAAAUCUGCCUGAAUUGACUAAUUGGUUUUUUUUUAUAAUAUGAUUGUUUUACCUAGUGGCUAGCAAAAUAUGACUCUACACUGGUUAUUACUGGCCAUCUCAGUGAUCUCACAUUACUUUCACGAACUUAGUUUCCUAUGUUUGACUUCUAGAUUGUUGAUCCUAAUGUAGUUUGUAGACACAAAAAAGCUUGAAGAUUAGUGGGGAUGGUAUGAAAUUUGUGAUAAUUUAGUGUUUGAUACAUGUAAAGGUAGACCAACUCCGAUCCGACUCAUAUAUCAAAUUAUCAAUGCAAUACAAGAAAAUAAAGUGUGCGAAUAAUAUCAUCCGAUCCUAAAAUAAAGUGCAUUUGGCCGGAGCUACUAUAUUGUAGGUUGCAUCGGUUCAUAAAUGAAUGAUCGAAGAGAAAUGCCUAUGGGAAAGAGUAGGGAUUAGAAGCUAGCAAACCUGAAUAUCAAAUGCACUGAGGGAAGGAAUGAAAUCAGAAAUAUUGAAAGCCCCGACCAAGAAGAACAUUUCCUCAACGAUGGCUUUCAGAUCAAACCUAUCGUCCCUUUUACAUCCCAACACCAUCCUAUACGUUAUGCCCUCAUUCAUCUCUCCAAUCUUCUCACUAACAUCCACAACCUCACCUUCCUCUGCAGCUUUCUUCAGCUUUCCCACCAGCCCUCCCAGCUCCUCCUUCCGCAGCGGCGCGAAAGCCUCCAGUUUCGCUGAACAGAAGAGCUGAAGCGUGCAGAGCUUCCUCACAUGGCGCCAAUAGGGACCAUAUUCGGAAAAGGCCAUGCCCUUUGUGCCGUAGGACAAGUACUCGGAGGCUUGGAUUUUUGGCCGGCUGGCGAAGUUAGUGUCAUGAGUUUUGAGGAAUAACUCGGCGGCUUUUGGGGAGGAGAUAACAAUGGUAGGAACAUUGCCUAGACGAAUGGACAUGAUGUCUCCGUAUUGUUUGGCCAAGUUUUGGAGGGUUCGGUGGGGAAGGUUGCCUAGCAUGUGGAGGUUUCCGAUUAUGGGAAGUGGCCGAGGGCCGGGUGGUAGUUUUUGGUGUUUUGAUUUUGAGAAGGCAGAGAUGAGUGACCAAAGGCAUGCGAGGAGAACCAGGAGGAUGGCUAUCAUUGUUGGAGGAGUCAUUGUUUCUGGCUUUCUGAUCUGUGUGGAGUUGCGAGUUGAGAGGAAAUAAUGGGGAAGUAUGGGUCCUGACCGAAAAUUAUUCAGCUCACCCGACAUCUCCGCUGUCAGUUUGAGCACGUGGACUUGAAAGUUGGGCGUUUGCUGUCUGUUAGGUAGGCGAGUGAUGGGGCUAGGGUAAGUGAGUGGAUGUGGAUCCGCUCCUCAGAAACUCAACUUAAUGAAUGGUAUGAACUGCUAUUUUUGCAUUCUUCUUUAUUAAUUUUUCUGCACUAAGGAGGAAGCCACCUUUGUAAAUUCAGUUCCUGGUUGCAAUAGUAGACAGUUAACUAUUGAUUAGUAGGGUAGUAGCUCUUUGGCACCUACUUCACAUAUUCUAGUUGACUUCGUAUCUAAAAAUGAACAGUUUGAUUCUCUUCCUUUCGUCUCAAGCAAAAUUUGUUUCAUGCCUUCUUUACAAUUUUAUGUAUCACUUUUCUUGCAAGUUUUAUAUCUAGUUUGAACUUUGAGGUGACUGGAACGGUGAAAGAAAGGAACUUACGAGAUUGGGGGUGGUGGGGGUACCUAUCGUCCAAGUUAUUAGUUCCGUUGAGUAAUGUAUUGUCAAUUAUUACACUCUUUUGGAUUCUUUCAUCUCACCCUGAAAUGAAUCUAUUAGCAGCAGGUCAUGACAGUGGGAUGAUCGUCUUUAAGUUAGAGAGGGAAAGACCAGCCUUUGCCGUCAGUGGUGAUUCUCUGUUCUAUGCUAAAGACCGCUUUUUGAAGUACUAUUGAGUUUUCAACCCAAUGAGAUACACAAGUUAUUCCAAUUCGACGGCCUGGUUCUAUCACUUUAAAUCAAAGCCCAAGGACCCUUUCUUACAGUCCUUCAGAAAAUGCCAUUCUUGUUUGCUCAGACUUGGACGGGGGAUCCUAUGAGUUGUAUUUCAUAUACCAAGAGACAGCAUUACAAGGGGUGACAGUACUCAAGAUGCUAAAAGAGGUGUUGGAGGUUCAGCUGUGUUUGUAGCACGGAAUAGGUUUGCUGUGCUUGAGAAAACCAGCAACUCUGUGUUGGUAAAGAAUUUGAAGAAUGAGGUUGUCAAACAGACUCCCCUUCCUUUUGCUGCUGAUGCAAUAUUUUACGCUGGUACAGGUAAUUUGCUGUGCAGGUCAGACGACAGUGUUUAUAUUUGAUCUCCAGCAGAGGACUGUUCUUGGUGAACUUCAAACCCCCUUCAUCAAGUAUGUUGUUUGGUCUAACGACAUGGAAAGUAUUGCCUUGCUGAGCAAACAUGCCAUAAUUAUUGCUAGCAAGAGGCUUGUGCACCAGUGCACUCUUCAUGAGACAAUCCGUGUAAAGAGUGGUGGUUGGGAUGACAAAGGUGUUUUCAUUUAUUCAACCCUGAAUCAUAUCACGUAUUGUCUACCUAAUGGAGAUAGUGGAAUAAUAAGAACCCUUGAUGUUCCUAUCUACAUUACGAAAGUUUCUGGAAAUACCAUCUUCUGCUUGGAUCGGGAUGGGAAAAAUAAGGCCAUAGUUAUUGAUGCCACAGAAGGAUCCGGCUCCUCUAAAGUGAGGAGUCCGUGAAGUUAGUCUAAGUUCAUAAAAUUCACACUCUUUAUCUAAUCUAAAGGGUAUGAGCAGGACACGUCACUCUUGAAUUAAUUUAAGCUAACCUAUGGUUAACUUUGAUAAACUACCGUCAACUACGUAACAAAAAAGAAAAGAAAAGAGGUUUUACGUCUUCUGCUAUAACACGUCCAACUGCUAUCUUCCUCUCUUGCUUCUAAGUCGAUCAAUUUGCUGCGCUAUACAUAUGCUCUGUUGCGAAUCACUAUGACGAACUUGGACUAUUGCGAAUCACUACAUUUGGUAUCCGGAUACAUACUUUCAGAACAUAUGCUCUAUUCCCAGGCAUUACUCUUCACCAAGGACUAUGGAUGAUAUCGUUCAGUAAUUGAAACCUAUUUGGCCGAUUUUGGAAUAGAGUUACUGUGGGAUUUGGAUCAGUUGCAUUUCCUACUGCGUGCUAUGAAAGAGGACCAUUUGAUGUUUCUAAACUUUGAAAUCAGCUGUUUGAUAUUUUUGCAUUUGGGACGCACAUAACGUGUUUGAUGAAAUGACAAGCUCAAUUUUUGAAUAUUGACUUCAGAUUUUGUUCAAGUUAACAUGGAGUAUGAUUUUGGUAUUAAUUGACAAAGGCCAUAAAGCUGAUUUUCAUCUGUACUAAUUUCAUUUUUCAUCUGUAGUUUGAGCACUUCUUAGAUGUAUUAUUCUUAUUUUGUGUUUUCAAAACUGGAAAACACACAUCUAAGCAGGCAAAUACUUGUUUGUUUCAUCUCACUUUUUGCAAAAGCAAGACCUACUUUAUCAACUAAGUUGUUAUAUAAAAGUUAAUGCAAUGCAUGGUCGACAAAGCUGGAAAAUAUUGCUCGUAAGGAACUGUGAAAACUGAUUCUCUAAUUGUAGAUAUGGACAUGAGCAAAAAUUGACAUGGACAUGAGCAUCUGUAAUUAUCAAAACUGAUUAUCAAACAUUAUUUCAAAUUUAAAUAAUCCAUACAAACAUGAGUACAUUACUUUCCUCUAGAUCCAUGAAAUUUUUAAUAGCAACUAAAAACGAUAACAGAGGUACAACCAUCAUCAUCUAAUUUCCAGCACAUAUAUAGAAGUUCGCUAUGUUUGGUAACCAACUAAACGAGUGGACAAUUGUUUCUUCCUCUUGCUUGAUGGUGGAGCUCCUUGAUCCUAUAUGACAAGAAUGAAAAUCGAAAAAUUACGUUCAAUUGCGUAGAUCAUAAACAUAUAUAGGACAUGUACAUACAUCAAUAAUGUUUUUUCUUCACAAUAUUCAAUCAUGUUUGAGAAAUUGCCAAUUGUGCUUUCAAUAGUACUGAAGAAAGCAUUUUAUUAGUUUUUAUUCGAAUAACAGAUGGAUGAACAAGCUACAUAAGACGGAAUGUAGGCUUGGCAAGCAAGUGUUUGGCCAUUGACAUUGACAAACCAAACUUCUCUGUCAUGUCCAAGUCUAGAGGUAGCAUGCCAUUUGGGAGCUCCCAGUUAAAGCAGUGCACCAGCUGUGCCAGAACUAUCCUAACUGUGGUUAGCCCUAAUUGCAUACCCGGACAUCCUCUUCGGCCAGUCCCAAAUGGGAUGAGCUGAUAGUGAUGUCCCUGGCGGUAUACGUUGAUGUUCGUAAACCUUUCCGGACAAAAUUCCUCAACAUUUUCCGACCAAACAUUGGGAUCCCUUGCAAUGCUCCAGAAAUUCACUAUGAGUCGCGAUUUCUUCGGUACGUCGUAUCCAUCGAUUGUAAUGUCCUUGAUGGAUUCAUGUGGGUCGAGCAAGGGUGCAACUGGGUGUAGUCUGAAGCUCUCCUUGACCACCAGAUCCAAGUAAUCCAGAUUUGGCAAAUCAGACUCUUCUACCAUUCGAUCCAUACCAACCACAGUUUGGAGCUCUUCUUGGAGUCGCUUCAUGAUCCUUGGAUGCCUCAUGAGCUCUGCAAGGCUCCAAAUAAUUGUUGUAGCAGAAGUAUCGAAAGCAGCCGUGAUCAUGUCAAGUAAGAUGGCCUUCACAUUUUCUCGAUCAAGAAAAUGAACUUGCUCAUCAUUCGGAUUCAACAGUUGCUUCGUAAACGAAAGCAACACGUCUACAAAGUCCUCAUGCUGGCCUUGUUUUCCACCACCCUUAGUUUCCGCAGCUUGUUCAUGAUCGUCAAUUAUCUUGUCCCAGAGUUGAUCGGCCGUCUUGCUCACUUUCUUCAAUCGCUUUAUUCUCUUAGUCAAAAUCCUUGAUAAUUUUUCAAAUUAUGAAAGCAAACUUAACAUAGAAAAUUAUAUUCAAGGCUACCUAAUACACUAGUCAAGACUUCAAGUCUCUUCUAAUUGAAAAUUAUAUUCUUACUAAAAAAAUUUAAAAAAAUCAAUAAAAAUAUAAUAUGCCUAGCUGCCCCGAGAAAAGGAAAUCCGCUUGAAUUGACAAUUUGGUUUUUUAUAAUAUGAUUGUUUUACCUAGCAGCUAGCAAAAUACGACAUUGCACGACUGCACUGGUCACUACUGUCAUCUCACAUUACUUUCACGAACAUAGUUUCCUAUGUUUGACUUCUAGAUUGUUGUUGAUCCUAAUGUAGUUCGUUGAGACAAAAAAGCUUGAAGAGGUAGUGGGGAUGGUAUAUAUGAAUUUGUUGAUAAUUUAGUGUUUGAUACAUGUAAAAGUAGAUCAACUCCGAUCCGAUUCAUAUAUCAAAUUAUCAAUGCAAUUUAAGAAAAUAAGGUGUGAAUAACAUCAUCCUAAAAUAAAGUACAUUUAGCCGGAGCUACUAUGUUGUAGGUUUGCAUCGGUUCAUAAAUGAAUGAUCGAAGAGAAAGAGUAGGGAUUAGCAAACCUGAAUAUCAAAUGCACUGAGGGAAGGAAUGAAAUCAGAAAUAUUGAAAGCCCCAACCAAGAAGAAUAUUUCCUCAACAAUGGCUUUCAGAUCAAACCUAUCGUCCCUUUUACACCCCAACACCAUCCUAUACGUUAUGUCCUCAUUCAUCUCACCAAUCUUCUCACUAACAUCCACAACCUCACCUUCCUCUGCUGCUCUCUUCAGCUUUCCCACCAACCCUCCCAGCUCCUCCUUCCGCAGCGGCGCGAAAGUCUCCAGUUUUGCAGGACAGAAGAGCUGAAGCGUGCAGAUCUUCCUCACAUGGCGCCAAUAGGGACCAUAUUCGGAAAAGGCCAUGCCCUUUGUGCAGUAGAAGUACUCGGUGGCUUGGAUUUUUGGCCGGCUGGCGAAGUUAGUGUCAUGAGUUUUGAGGAAUGGCUCGGCGGCUUUUGGGGAGGAGAUAACAAUGGCAGGAACAUUGCCUAGACGAAGGGACAUGAUAUCUCCGUAUUGUUUGGCCAAGUUUUGGAGGGUUCGAUGGGGAAGGUUGCCUAGCAUGUGGAGGUUUCCGAUUAUGGGAAGUGGUCGAGGGCCGGGUGGUAGUGUUUGGUGUUUUGAUUUUGAGGAGGCAGAGAUGAGUGACCAGAUGCAUGCGAGGAGAACCAGGAGGCCGGAUUGCUAUCAUUGUUGGAGGACUCAAUGUUGGAUCCAAAUUUGCCAACCAGCAGCAUUAUGCUGGUCAUAGCACCACCCAACGAGGUGCUGACACCUGUAUUGCUUAAUCUCUUCACAGAGCAAAUUAAAUGUUAACCUGAUAUUUAGAAAAGAAAAAAAAAAAACUCUCUCUCUAUACCUCUCUUCUUGUCCCCGCCAGAAACCACCACAGUACCACCCACCCCGCCGGAAACUACCACCCACCCCACUACCUUUAACUAUGAUCAUACCCAAAAUUUCCCACCAGCAGUAUAUUUGAAUCUGUUAAGAUUCACCAAUUUAUUUACCAAAACCUUGCAAGAGUCGAAAGCAGCAUCUUCCCCAUCCCUUCCCUCCUGUAGCACUCCCUCACAAACAAAUCCUCCACAUAAAACCCAGGCUUGCCCAGAAAUGUUGAAUAAUUCGAAAAAAACAACACAAACCCGGCAACCACAGCGUCGCCAACGCCGGAGCAGAACACGAGCCUCUCGGGGUCUUCAACAGGGGGGUCGAGAUUGAGGGUUUUGACAACAGGGUGGUAGUGGGCGUCGUUAGGGAAAAGAGUGGGGCAGGCUUCGAGGACGAAAACGGUGAAGGACUGGAAAGAUGGACUGCUGGUGGGAAAUUUUGGGUAUGAUCAUAGGUAAAGGUAGUGGGGUGGGUGGUAGUUUCCGGCGGGGUGGGUGGUAUUUGUUGAUAGUAUUUCUCAUAUUAACCUAGCUGUUAUUCUGUUGUAACAGAAUUAUAAUAAUGUCCUAUAAGAGUGUAACACGUGUCAUUAGUACAGCUGUGUUUUUUAUUGUCUGUUAGUGCAUCAGGAUCAGCUUGUAUAAAUAUCAAAACUCUCUCUCUUUUGGAACCUGGAUUCAUUUUGUGAAAUAGAAAGAAUUGAGCUCUGUUAUUCUCUCUGUUCGUCUCUUAUUCUUUUCCUUCAAACCCUAGAAAUCAAAGCUUUGCUAGUUUCUGAUGCCAUGGCUAUCAUAGUGUCAGAGCUACCAUAGAUCCUAGACCUGUUAUGCUAUGCUUCCGCAUACUCUACUGAUCGUUCUCUUUGUUUCUAUGUUCAGAUCUAGCUUUGUGCCAAGUUGAGCAAAGUUGAGCUGCGUCUAGAGGUGCUUUCGUCAUCAAAGCUUUCUCUAAGGUUUCGGUUCUCUCUUUCAGGUGAAUCCUGUUGAUUUUUACUGUUGUUGUGAGUAGAUCUUGAGUUUUUGGCGUAAAUUGGAGUGAAAAUUGGAGUAUAUAGAGAUUGUUGUCAAAUUUCUGAGUAGAUCUUGUGCCUGAGUAAAUCUGAGUAAAAAAAAAAUAAAAAAAAUAGGAGUAUAUAGAGCUUGCUAUCAAAGUGUUUGAGCCUUUGGAGUAAAUCGAAGUAAAUCUGGGAAUAUAUAGAGCUAUUGUUCAAUUUUGUGAACAAAUCCGAGCAGUUUUCAGUGAUUGUUGAAUCGUAUAGAGCUAGUUUGCACUUUGCUGUGAUCUUUUGUAAAAUGGUUCAGAUUUUUGAGCAAUUCUUGCGUACAUUGUGUAUCUCUUUCAGUGUUAUAUAAAGAUUUGACUAUGUUUAGUGGAAUGAUAAGUUUGUUAUACAAAGAUUUGACUAUGUUCAGUGGAAUGAUAAGUUGGUAAUAGUGCAAGUCAAGAAGAUUUUAGAUAUUACAGUUUCUUGGCUCAGAAGUUUUCUAGGUUUUAUCAGUCUGUUCUUGUGAUCUUCAUUAAGAGAGAAGUGGUAGAACUUGUUGUUUUUUGGAACAAGUAAGCAGUGCAGAGUUAAUCAUUGGAGGUAUAGGUUGAGAAAUUCUUUUGUGAGCUCUGUUGGUAAUUUUGUAUUGUGAUCAACAGAAAUGGCUUCUCAAACUAUCACUCAUUCUGAUGUUCAUUCCUUGCUGAGUAUCAUCACUAUGCGUCUUGGAGAGAGAAACUUCAUCAAAUGGAGUUUUCAGUUUCAAUCAAAUCUUGCUGAAAAUGGCCUUUUUGGCUAUUUUGAUGGUUCAAAGGUUGCACCUCCCAGAUAUGCCCUUACUUUAGCAGGAGAAGUUAUAAAUGAGGAAACAGCUGCUUAUAGAACAUGGAAGCAAACUGAUAUGGCUCUUUUGAGUUUAUUAAUGGCAACCCUUGAUGAAGAUGUUAUAGAUGUGAUAAUUGGUUGCAAGACUUCCAGGCAAGCCUGGAUUGCUCUUCAAGAGCGAUUUUCUGCUGUUUCAAGAGUUAGCAUCAUGCAACUGAAAACUGAACUUCAGACUUUGCGCAAAGGCAGUGAAUCAAUUGAGAAGUAUUUGCAGCGAGUAAAAAAUGCAAGGGACCAGCUUUUAUCUGUGGGAGUAUCUAUUCCAAAUGAAGAUAUAAUCAUUAUGAUUUUGAAUGGCUUACCUGAUGAAUUUUCUACUGUGAGAACUGUCAUUGAAGGAAGAGAAACUCCUAUUUCUCUGCGAGAUUUGAGGUCUCAGUUGUUGUCUGCUGAAAGAAGAAUAAAAGGAAGCUUUUCUCUCAUAUCCCAUAUGUCUGCUAUGGUUGCUAGAAAUGAUCAAGGCUCAAGAGAUGGGAAUAGAGGUUGGAAUAACUCUAGAACAGAAGGCAAGUCUAAAGAUAACAAGUACAAUGGUAACACAAGUGCAGUUGAAUGUUCAGUAUGUGGGAAAAGAGGACAUACUGUGGAUACCUGUUUCAAAAUUCACAAAUGCCAAAUUUGCGGCAAGCAUGGUCAUCUUACCAGUACAUGUUAUCAAAACCCUGACUAUAAGCCUCAGCAGCCACAAGAGCAGCGUAGACAGACUUUUCCUAAUGCAAGUAAUGGUCCUGCACCUGAAUGUCAAAUUUGUUCCAAGAGAGGUCAUACAGCUGCAAACUGUUUCUAUAGGAUAGAUGUACCUGAUGGACAUCCCUCUCAAUCCAUUCCAACCUGUCAGAUAUGUGGACUUAAGGGUCACAUUGCCCUAAACUGUUCUCAUAGAACCAACUUUGCUUAUCGAGGGUCUGAUCCUCCUUCAACUCUCACUGCUCUUACAGCUCAGACUAGUGGAAAUGGUUCUGGAACAUUUCAUCACAGUCAAGGAGAAGGUUAUGUUGUUUCUCAUGGUUCUUCUCACUCUCCAUUUCCUGGUGGAUUUAAUCCUAACAGUGGUGCCUCUUCUUCUAGCAAUGGUCCAGCCUCUCAUUCUCAGUCCACAAAUGAAGUUUGGGUAGGAGAUUCUGGUGCUACUCACCACAUGACCUCAGAGUUGAGAAAUCUUACCAUUGCUUAGCCCUACUCUUCAGACAACAAGAUAACUAUUGGUAAUGGUACAGGUUUAAAUAUCACUCACACUGGUUCUAGUCCUAUAAAACCUGCUGAUCAUGUGUUGCAGCUCAAUCAAGUUCUCCAUGUUCCUGAUUUGGCAAUGAAUCUAUUGUCAUUUACAAAAUUAUGCAGAGAUAAUAAUUGUUUUAUUACUCUUGAUGAAACGAAUAUUGCUUUGCAGGACAAGGCAUCCAAAACAGUUCUCUACCAAGGAAAGAGUAGUGAGGAAGGCUUGUUUCUUUUCAACACUCCUCUUGCUUUUUCUAUUGCUCAAAUAUCUCCAUCUGCCUUUGUCAUCACAGCUUCAUCAAAUUUUUCCUUAUGGCAUCAAAGAUUGGGUCAUCCUUCUCCUCAGGUUUUGUCAACAAUGUUAGAAAAAUCUCAAAUCAAAAUUCCUAGUUCAGGUUGCUCUUUCUGUUUAGAAGGCAAGAUGCACAGACUAUCUUCUCUUAGUUCUGAUGCAAAAUCAUCUGUACCUUUUCAUAAGUUACAUUCUGAUGUAUGGGGUCCAGCUCCAUGUUUGUCAAUUGAGGGGCAUAGGUAUUAUGUCACUUUUAUUGAUGACUGUACUCGUUUUGUAUGGAUCUUUCCUUUAAUCAAUAAAUCUGAUGUUCUUGCCACUUUUGUAAAAUUUCAUGCCUUUGUGGAAAACCAAUUUCAAUCUUCCAUAAAAAUAUUUCAAACUGAUGGUGGUGGUGAAUUCAAUAGCAAGGCUUUUCAUAAUUUUCAUGCCUUGAAAGGCAUCAUUCAUCAGAUUACUUGCCCUCAUACCCCACAACAAAAUGGGAUAACAGAGAGAAAGAAUAGACAUCUUGUCGAAACUGCUAUUUCUUUGAUGUCUACUGCUAAAAUUCCAAAGCAGUUCUGGUUUCAUAGUAUUGCACAUUCUUGUUACCUCAUUAACAGAAUGCCUAGCAAGACUUUAAAAAUGUUUUCUCCCUAUGAGCUGCUCUUUCAUCAUCCUCCAGAUCUUUCUCAUUUCAAAAUUUUUGGUUCAAGCUGUUACCCUUAUCUCAAGCCCUACAAUUCUGAUAAAUUGGAUCCGAGAACAACUCAAUGUGUUUUUCUGGGAUAUGCUUUAGGGUACAAAGGGGUAUUUUGCUAUAGUAUUUCUCAAAACAGGCUUUGGAUGUCAAGACAUGUUGUCCAUGAUGAGACGGUCUUUCCUUUUCAAACUUCUAAUUUCUCUCAUUCUGCUCCUAUUGAUCCAGCCACAUUCUUUCCAUCUUCUUCCUCUUCCACUACUCUUUCUCCACCAUGGAUGCCUGUCCAUUCUUCUCCAGUCUCUUUAUCUGAGACAGCUACUGGUAGCAUUGCUGAUGAUAGCAUGAAUGAUACUUAUACAACGAAUUCUCAUGAUAUUGGGAACACUGUUGAUUCAUUGGAUGUUAAUAAUGAUACUCACCAUCAUGGUGGCACUGUGAAUGAUACUUCUGCUGGUUUGGGCAAUUCUUCUACUGAAAAUGCUGCUCUUCAUUCUACUAGUGUUGUUCUUGAGGAUAAUGUUGUUAAUAAUUUUCCUAGUGAGAGCUCACCUGUAAACAUUGACUCCAAUGUUGCAUCUAUCAUUUCUUCUAUUCAGAAUGAUACUCUUGUUAAUGUGGAUUUCUCUGCAAUGGAUUCAGAGGUUCAUUCAGUGUCAGCUCCAAUUUCAGCAAAUCCUGUUACUGAAAAUGACAUUUCAGUCCUUGGUGCACAUCAUCUGAAUGUUUUACAAUAUGGUGGCAAUUUGGAUACAGACAUUCCUCCGGAGCUUUCCUUUAUAGUUGAUCAAGACUAUAAUACUCAUUCUAUGCUGACUCGAGCCAAGAAUGGUAUAGUACAGAAGAAGACUUUUGAAGAUUUCUACUGUUACUUAGCUAUAGCUCAACAACAGCUUUACUCAGAAUAUCCUUAUUUUAGUGGCUUCACUGCUAUCACUGAUGUUAGUGAGAUUUUUGAGCCUAAAACUUUUCGAGCAGCAUCAGGAAGAAAGGAGUGGGAUCAGGCUAUGUUAGAGGAAAUAGAGGCUCUACAGAAACAAGGUACUUGGACUUUGGUCCCUUGUCCUCCUAACAUGAAUAUUGUAGGGAGCAAAUGGAUUUUCAAAGUCAAGAGGAAUCCUGAUGGCAGUGUGUCAAGAUAUAAAGCAAGGUUAGUGGCUCAAGGUUUUAGUCAAUCUAAAGGGCUGGAUUAUGAUGAAACUUUUAGCCCUGUUGUGAGACAUAGCACAGUUAGAGUUCUCUUAGCUCUUGCUGCAAUGAAUAAUUGGGAAUUAAGGCAACUUGAUGUGAAGAAUGCCUUUUUACAUGGUGAUCUGAAGGAGGAGGUUUACAUGUCUCAACCAAAAGGUUUUGAGGAUCCUAAUUUUCCUAAUCAUGUUUGUUUAUUUCAGAAAUCUCUUUAUGGGCUAAAGCAAGCUCCAAGAGCUUGGCAUGAGAAAUUCACCAGCUUUCUACCAAGCUUGGGAUUCUCAUUCUCUCAUUCUGAUCCAAGUCUUUUUAUAAGACAUACACCAGCAGGAAUGGUAGCUUUACUUUUAUAUGUAGAUGACAUAGUGAUUACUAGCUCAGAUGCACUCGGUAUUCAAGAGGUUAUUACUGAGUUGAGUUUAGUAUUUGACAUGAAAGAUCUUGGACCAUUGUCAUAUUUCUUAGGUUUAGAAGUAACAAGAAUUCACAAGGGAAUUCUUCUCACUUAAACCAAGUAUGCUACUGAUCUUCUGAGCAGGUCUGGAAUGGCAUCAAUGAAUACAUGUUCAUCUCCUUGUCUUCCACAUUCUUAAAUGACUGCAGAUCAAGGUACACCAUUACCAGACCCUACUGUCUAUAGAAGUAUAGUAGGUGCUUUGCAAUACUUAACAUUUACUCGUCCAGAUAUUGCAUACUCUGUCAAUACUGUAUGCCAAUUUAUGACAAGACCUACAGAUGUUCAUUAUGCUGCUGUCAAGAGAAUUUUACGAUAUCUAAAGGGUACUUUGAACAAAGGUAUCUUCUAUAGCUCAUCUGGUGCCAUGCCUAAUACUGUUAGUGUUAAAGCCUACUGUGAUGCAGAUUGGGCUGGUGAGAUUAUUCAAAAGAGAUCAACAACUGGCUUUGUUGUUUAUCUUGGUUUGGUCCUAUUUCUUGGCAGUCUAAGAAACAAGGGACAGUCUCUCGAAGCUCUACUGAGUCUGAAUACAGAAGCUUAGCAAACACUGCUGCUGAGAUUAGUUGGAUCAGGCAUCUCCUAUGUGAUCUGCAUAUCUCUAUUCCUUAUGCUCCACUUCUUAAGUGUGACAACUUGUCAGCCUUGGCUCUUGCUUCUAAUCCUGUCUUCCAAUCCAAAAUCAAGCACUUAGACAAUGAUUUCCAUUUUGUUCGAGAACGUGUUCAACGUAAUGAUCUUCGUUUGGCUUAUAUCCUUACCACAGAGCAAACUGCUGACAUUCUCACAAAGGGCUUGGCAUCUCCUCUCUUUAAGACUCACUGUGUCAAUCUCAGACUAGCUUCCCUAGCUGAGCUUGAGGGAGGGUGUUGAUAGUAUUUCUCAUAUUAACCUAGCUGUUAUUCUGUUGUAACAGAAUUAUAAUAAUGUCCUAUAAGAGAGUAACACGUGUCAUUAGUACAGCUGUGUUUUCUGUUGUCUGUUAGUGCAUCAGCUUGUAUAAAUAUCAAAACUCUCUCUCUCUCUUUUGGAACCUGGAUUCAUUUUGUUAAAUAGAAAGAAUUGAGCUCUGUUAUUCUCUCUGUUCGUCUCUUAUUCUUUUCCUUCAAACCCUAGAAAUCAAAGCUUUGCUAGCUUCUGAUGCCAUGGCUAUCAGUAUUGUGGUAGUUUCCAGCGGGGACAAGAAGUGAGGUAUAGAGGGAGAGUUUUCUUUUUUUUUCUUUCUAAAUAUCAGGUUAACCAUUUAAUUUGCUUUGUGAAGAGAUUAAGCAACACACGUGUCAGCACCUCGUUGGGUGGUGCUAUGACCAGCAUAAUGCUGCUGGUUGGCAAAUUUGGAUCCAAGUCUCCCAGACCACCAAGUGAUCCCGCAAGUUCGUCGCUGAUGCCUCCAAAAAACCCGAUGAGAAAACGCCGUUUAUAAGCAAGCCGAUUAGAUCAAACAAUCUUAAUUGGUUCGUCGGCGUUUUUUUUUCUUCAUUCUGGACAAACCUUCUUUUUACUGCAGCAUGAACAACGACUUUUUUUUAACACACAAGAAGUAUGGAUCCCACGCGCCCACGCGCUGUUAAAUGGACCGUUGGUGAUCCUUCAUUCAGUGGAGGGAAGAACCUCCGUGUCAAUACUAACUAACUUACCUUUUGGACAAGGUACCUUUGGUCGAUCAUGACAGCACAGCUGACAAGUCCUAAUGCUAGCUAAAUCGUACGAUCAUGAGUCAUGACAGCAUAUGAAGGUGAAUGGUCCAAUCUGCCAUAUGCACAAGGAGCAUUACGACAUUAGACUAGUUUUGAAUACAAUCAACAUGUUACUUCUCAAGUAAAAUUAUAGCCUACAUAUCUGCAUACUAACAUAUCUUGGCCCCCAAUUCUACUUCAUUGAUCCCGGCCGCCGAACCACUGUCAUUGCCGGCUGUCCAUCAGUCUCCACGUCGACGUCCACCAGCGUUUUAGCAACUGACCACCAUAGCAGUCCCGGCCCUGACUUCCAUCCACAGUGCAGUGGACUGAGUGGAGAACCCUGCCGCGUUGCUCCAAAUCGUGCAUGCAGAUUGUAUUCUGAAGACUAUGGAAUUGAGUAGCGCUCUUAUAUUUUCUUAGAAGAUACAGAUUUGUACUCUUUAAUUGUUUGGAAGAUCACUAAAGAACAUAGGCUUAAAAUGAACUAGCUAGUGGUAUUUGCAUAAUUAGAGUUCAUACCAAAGAACCUUGCUCUUGACUACCCUAAUCAAGUGUAUAUGUAAUGAACAUAUACUGUUGUUACAUAAUGCAAACAACAAUACUGAUGGAUUCAUACGUUAAAUUGUUAAUUGCAUUACGCAUAAUUUUUAAGCUGCAUAAUAAUAGAUGUGGAUGAAUGCUUGUUGAAAUCCAACAAACUACAUAAAAUUAUCACAUUGAAAAUAUAACCUACAUAAGACUAUAAAUUGGCUUGACAAGCUAGUGUUUUCCUUUUGACAUUUUUUUUUUGGUCUAAGUUUUCCUUUUGACAUUGAUAAACCAAAAACCUCGCACUCGGACAUGUCCAGUUCUUGAGGUAGCAUGCCAUUUGGGAGCUCCCACUUAGUUAAAGCAAUGAACCAGCUAUGCGAGAACUAGCCUAAAUGUGGCUAGCCUAACUACAUACCUGAACACCCUCUUUGCCCAGACCCAAAUGGUAUGAGCUCAAAUUUAUGUCCCAAGAGGUCUACAUGCUAUUCAUGAACCAUUCAAGAUAAAAUUCCCCCACAUUUUCCGACCAAAUGUUGGGAUCUCUUAUAAUGCUCCAAACGUUUACUAUGAUCCUCGAAUUCUUGGGUAUGUUGUAUCCAUCGAUUGUAAUGUCCUCGAUGGAUUCAUAUGGCCCUAGUAUUAGACCAACUGGGUGUGGCCUCAUGCUCUCCUUGAUCACCAUAUUCAAGUAACCCAGCUUGGGCAAAUCAAACUCUUGCACCAUUCGAUCCAUACCAACCACAGUUUGGAGCUCUUCUUGGAGGUUCUUCAUGACCCUUGGAUGCAUCAUGAGCUCUGCAAGGCUCCAAAUAAUCGAUGUGGUUGAGGUAUCAAAAGUCGCUGUGAUCAUGUCAAGUAAGAUGGCCUUCACAUUUUCUUGAUCAAUAAUAUGAACUUGCUCAUCAUUCGGGUUCAACGGUUGGUUCGUUAAGGAAAGCAACACGUCUACAAAGUCCUCAUGCUGGCCUUGUCACUCCUAGUUUCCGCAGCAACUUCAUGGUCGUCAAUUAUCUUGUCCAAGAGUUGAUCGUCCGUCUUACUAGCUCUCUUCACUCGCUUAGUCAAUCACUCAAUCCCUGUAAUAAAUAACUUCCCAGAUGCGUUAUAGUAGCUAAAUACCUAAUAAAAGUCAGUAUUACCCUCACCAUCCAAUUUAUUUACAGAUGCGUUUCCAAACGUUUCUGAUGUGUUUCCGGCCAUUUUCGACGUGUUUACGGUGUUUUCGAGAACAUAUUUUAAAAUUACAAGGCACUGGACACGCUCUGGUAUGGCCAAAAACGGCUGGUGACGGUCGAAAAAUGUCAUAUACGGUGGGGCAAUAAUGACUUUUCGACCCUAUAGUUGUAAACUAAACACUCACACACUAAGAUGAAGAGUCAGUUUUGCCCCACUAUCCAAUUUAUUUACAGACGCGUUUCUGACGCGUUUUCGGCUGAUUUUGACGUGUUUUCGAUAACAGAUUAUGAAUCAUCAAGGCACCGGGAACACUUUGGUACGGCCGGAAACUUCUGGGGACUGCCGGAAUAGACCGGAUAUGGCGGGAUACAUAUCCGUAGAUAAGUUGGAUACGUGGGACAAUAAUGAUCUUGCCUCCCAUAUGUAUACUACAAUUUGGGAGCUCCUAGUUGUGCGUGAACUAGCUGGACCUAACCCAACUGCAAUUAGGCCCAUUUUUAAACCAGACACUCUUUUGCUGAUGAUCCGACCCGACCCAAAUGGUAUCAGAUAAUUUCCAGGGUCAAAAGUGAAAACCAUGAUAGAUUCAAAUUUACAGAGUUGCAGUUACAAUGAAGACCCAGAAUUCUACUCUGCUUCUGUUAAAACCAUUAUUACUACUAUAACCAAUCGUCUCCGACUAGCUGUGGAACCAGAUCUCUGAGACAGAGAGAGGAUCGUUGACCGUUGACCGAUCCAACCAAUGGCUCAGAUCUUCGAGCACUUCGUCGUCUGCGGCAUCGGGCCGGAGAUUCGAACCCUCGACGGCGGCAGAGGAUUCCACGGCUUCGCCGAAAUGUACCUCCCGUCUUUGCUCGACCAGUUCCCUCCCGCCAACCACACUCUCUAUCCUCCUCCGCCGCCUCAGCUCCCCACCGUAAGUUACCUAAACGCCGCCGUUUUCGCUUUGCUCUCUCUCGCCGGAAUCGGCUAAUUCUAAUUCCGGUUGUGGAUUUCUACAGUGUGUGCUGCCAGCUGGCGUUUCGUUCUACUCCUCGGGGUUUGAUGCUAACGAUGCGACGACGUUUCCGCGGAGCUAUCCCAUUGUUCUUACUGGUAUGAAUGCCUUGAGCUCUCUGGCCUAUUUUGCUUCACUCUGCUCUUAAACGAUGUCGUUUACUGUAAUUAAGCUUGAGGAAUCGAUGUAGAAGCUAGAAUGAAGAUUAAUUAGGGCUAGGAUUAAGCUUUAGCAGAAAUUUGAUCGAUUAAAUGAGUUGUUGUUUCGAUUAGUAUGCUUAAAAAUUCCUUAGAACAGAGCCAUUGCUGUGUGCAUGUAGCCAAGCAAAUACUCUUCUCUAAAUGCUGUUCGUAAUGGUGCAGAGGGUGAUGGUUCAAAAAUCUAUGUUAGUUGCAUUGCUUUCCGGGAUCCAGUGAGUGAGGAUAUUGCGGAAGCUUAUUGUAUACCGGCAAAUUCAUUUGCUGAAAAAUGUAUAUGUCUAGUUUCGCGGUCACCUAGUCUCCGUUUACUUAAAAAUGUACUCGAGGAGUUGUUUGCUCUCUGUUUUUCCUCUAGCGGAAGCAGGUAAGAAUCUCUUAGUCUCGUAGUGGUGAGUUUUGGUGGUCUUUUGAUACUCCUGUCACAUUCAUGUUUCUGCAACAUUUACAGCAAACCAUUAUGGGAUAUCAUUGCAUCUAUGGUAUCCAAUGUACCUCUGCCUACCCCUGGAAAAGAUCGAGUUUUGUUCGCUAUCGACAAUGUUCUGCUUUCUGUGGAGACUCCACCAAAGGAUGGGCUCCCCCAUGUUGAUGUACAGCCUCUAACUUCUUCUUCCCUUCUCAGUUGUGUGCCUCUACAUUUUGCUGGUGUAAAUGUACUUCUUGCUGCUGUUGGAUAUUGACUUUGGUUGUCAUGUACUACAUUUCAUUCAUGCAGAUAUCGUUUCAGCCAUUGGUACAGUGUCUAGAUGUUGACAACUUGAUUAAAUUUUUCACAGCCGUGCUGCUUGAAAGAAGGAUUUUGAUCCGGUCACACAAGUACGAACCUGGAACAAGUUCUCAUCUUGCUUUCUCAGCUGUGUACUCCCACAUCCUUUAGUUAACUUUUUGUCCUACUUUUGGCAGAUAUUCCCUUUUGACCCUUGCAUCAGAAGCUAUUUGCUAUUUAAUUUAUCCAUUUCGGUGGCAGGUAAGCUUCAUUCUUAGUCAACGACUUUUUGUUUCCCUGGCAAAAUGCUGCUCAAGACAUAUGCUUAGUUAGUUUGUUUCUUGUAGCCGUAGGCUGGCUUAGUGGGGUUUCUAUUUGCUUUAACAGGUCUUUUGUGCUUGAUGGACUUCUUGUCCAAUUUGUUAUGUGAUCUUCCUUAUUUCUCUAAUAAUUGUCAUUUCUUCUCUAAACAACAUAGCUUCUCUAUUUUGAACUCUUACAAACAAAAAAUGCUUGUGUGUAUGUGUAUGUAUAUUUGAAUACCGAAAUUUCAAUUGUGUAGUAUUUAUUUUCUGAUACAUCUUGUAUUUGACUCUUGUCUAAUUUGUGCAUGUUUUUUUUUAUGUGGAAGCAAGUCUACAUUCCGUUACUCUUUUUCAGUGGAGUAGACUAUAUUGAUGCCCCCACACCGUAUAUGAUGGGUCUUCAUUCAGGUGUUGAUACAUCUACUCUAGCAAUGGAUGGUGUAAGUUCUUUUCAAGAAACUGCCUUAUCGUUUAUACAUAUUAGGGUUGAAAAAGAUAUUUGUAGUUUUUAUGCAUUCUAUAUUUCAGCUAUUUUAGUAAACAUAAAACAACUGUAUGCUCUUUUUAUUUUUUAUUUUUGAGAAGUUUAGAUCCUAAAACACUGUACGAAUUCUUUACAGAAGAACAGUUAUUUUCUUGGCUCUUUCCAAGAACUUCCUAUACUUUGAAGACAUUUUUAAUGACGUUGAUUUUGCUAUUUGGAUAUUUUAUGUAGAUCAAUGAUCUAGCUAGUGAUGAAUGUUGUUAUGCAACUGUGGAAAUGGAAAUUAUCUGUAAAAAUGAAAAGAUAAUGAAGUUUUUCUUUAUAUUAUAUAUAUGAAAUAUUUAUGCUAAUUACAAUAUGUUUUGUUGUCAUUCACCAUGGUUCUAGGUAGUUAUUGUGGACCUUGAGUUCAAUCGUAUCACAACAACAGAAGAUAUACCUUCUAUUCCUGAGCCAGAACUAAGCUGUUUACGUCAGGAUCUAACGCAGCUAUUGUAUCCCAAUGUUGUGGGGAUAGAUCUGAUGAAGGAUGGUCUUUUCAAUUCAUCCGAGCAAUAUCCUAAACUUGGCAACAAACCUUGGGGAGAGGAUCAUGAACUACAACUUAGGUAAGCUUGGGUGCCAAGUCAAUCUCUAUGAAGUCCUUAUCACUCCCCUUAAUUGUAUAAGUACUUCAGUAAAAUGAUUUGCUGGAUGAUGUCAUUUUCUCGUCCAUAUAAAUCGUCGCUGCCCUGUAAGGGCGCCACUUCUGUUGUCUAAUUGCAGUUCUGUUAUAAAAUGAUUACCUUUUUUUUUCUUGCUUAACUGACUACCUGACUACCUCCACAUAAUCAGAAGCACUGAAGGGUUGAAUCAGAGGUCUACAUAUUUGAGACAAUUAUUUAUAAUAUUAUCUUCAGAUUCUCAAAGCAAUCCAAGAAUACACUCUUUUGAUGUUAGUCUUUUCCACUUAUUUUGGAAUAUGAACUAGAAAUGCCUUUAAUUGAUUAACAUGCAGUAAAUUCUUGAUAGACUGAAAUGGGUAGAUUAUACAUCGUAUGCCACAUUAUAGUUUGGACUCUUAUUUUUGCAUUUGAUUUCUUGUGCAGAUUAGUGUUCUUAAAGUUCUUUGCAUCGCUUUUAAGUGGUUAUCGGAACUUCAUAGUAUGAAACUCUUUAUCUUAUUUCUGAUGUUAAUUGAAUCUGGUUUUUAAUAGUUGAUAUUUGUAGAUUCUUUGAAAUUUAUUUAGUUAAAUUAUUUCUGACCCAAAGGAACUUUCUGCUACUCACGUCUUCAACGUUCAAGCAUACUUGAAGAUGCGCUCUCGUUCAACUCAGCAACCCCCAGAACCCAUGGUAUAUACUUGUUCACAGCACCUAUCUUGAUCUUUGAUUAUUUUGAUUAAUUAUGGGUACAUAUAAUUGCUAUACUCAUUAUUCUAGUAAUUGUUGUUACCACUGUAGUUGUAAUUGUAUUUAAUGACUAUUCUUACUGUUGGUCAGAAUGAAAAUAGGGGUCUGCAUUUGUUGAUAAGUGUUGCUUUUCAAAAUUUAACAUAUGACCUUCUGCUGCUAGUGGUAUACUUAUUCUUUGUUGGUAUUUACAGCUGACACAAUUUCUGGAAUCACAUGGUUUCAUGGAUUAUCUGGAAAGAGGUUUGGGUUCUGAUGAAAACAACAAUAACCUACUUGACAAGUUACAAGAUGCACUGGGAAGGGGCCAAAAUCCUAUUUCAAUUCUUCCUUCAAAUUCAGUGGAGCCUGAGAUUAUAACAAUUGCAGAUACAGAUGUGGGAACAUCAGGUAAAUUUGUGAUGUUGCUGUUGAUUUAAAAUUGCAAGAGAUACAAAGAGAAGCAAAUAUUUCAGAUAGUUAGAGUUUGCUAUGGUGUUUAUUUUAUCUCCUUUCUCUGGAUUCUUAGGGACAGGUGGCACAUACACUUAUGACAGGUUUCCCUCAAACAUCAGGACAGAAGAGGAAGAAGAAAAAAGGAAGCAAACUCUUGCUGCAGCAAGUGGUUUAUCUGCUAGGUAUAAAUCGCAUGCUAUUGUAGAUGAAUACCACAGUUUGUUUAUUAUUGUUGUUUUCAGUCAAUCUGGAAAUUUUGCUUUAGAGCUGUAACAUAUGUGGGACUCUUUGAAAUGUCUGAAACUAUAGAGACAUAUUGUCCUUGGAUUCCGACAGUAAAUAAUUGACACAAACCUUUGGUACCACCAGUUCCUUCUGUAGAAUAAAGGCAAUCACAUCUCAUAGGACUAGUUUGCGGUAUAUGGUAAAUAAUGGUGGCUAUAUAUAUGUAAUAAAUCGUCUCUUGCAUUCAUUUGGGAGUACUGGAUUAAUUGGAUUUUGGACUCUAGUUACAUUCAUCUUGGCUUGGAAAGGAGCCAAAAGAGUUGGACAUCUGAAGUUGGAUAUGAUGAAUAAAAAUUGCUUUAUAGAGUUGCAGGCUUAUUAAAUUACAUCUUAUUGCUGUUUCUAAUUUUCCUUGGUUCUCUCAGCGCACCUUCUGUCCUUACUGGUAAAGACCCCAAAUCAGAUCCAUUGGAGCGGGCUGUAAGUCCUAUACUCCUACAUGAUAUCUAGUAGGUUACUUUAGAGCUUUCGUUAACUAGUGUAAUAUUGUUCAUUCAGGCUGAAAGGGAAUGUAUGGUUUUGGACAUCAAAGUUAAGCUGCAGGUACUUUUUUUUUGGGGUUAAAUAUACAUGUGUACAUUUUUGUUCAACUCUUGUUGCCCUGUUCUACAUUAUCUACUAUUGGUUUUACAGAUGGGAUGAAAAUAAUUGAUGUGCAUGGUUAUGACCUUAUACUAGGAGUUUAUUAUCAUUUCUCUUAAGAGAAAAAUUGACUAGAUAGUAAAAAAAAAAAAAAAAACUCAGUCAAUAAAUUGGCUUGCCAUNNNNNNNNNNNNNNNNNNNNGGGAGCACAUAAAUUCGGUAUGUUUCUCUUGAAAUAAUUCAUGGUUCUCUCCACCCUCCAGAAGUAUCCAUAAAACAUAAUAUUAAUAGUGGAUUUAUAUGCUCUCAGGGAUGGCACUGUCAGUUAACUGAAGAACAAUUUAUUGCUGUGAAGGAACUGGUACAAAUUCUAACUCAAUAUUCAAAUGAGUGAUCUUAUUUGAUUUAGGAUUACUAACAGUUUGAGAUUGCAACAGCCAUGGUUAUGUUUUAAACUGUUCUUCACUGAUUCAUCAAUUCCUUUUACUAGUGUUGAUACUAUUUAGUUCAGGAAAAAACAUGUAUUGUUCCCAUUUUAAGCUUAGUAACAGUUUUAAGUAUAAACUGUAUUUUCUGUUAGUCUGUCAUUUCUUAUCUCGACACUAACUUUAUUUAAAUUCAGCUGAAAACAGCUAUCAGCCGUGCAACCUCCAGAAAUGAUUGGAUGACCAUCAGAGACGCCCUUGAAGUGUCUGCUGAAAUGUUCAAGAAGGAUGGAAAUAAUGUUUCAGAUUAUGUUCAGCGUCAUCUUAUUUCUUUGUCCAUCUGGGAGGAAUUACGGUAUGUAGUUAUGCCCCCAGUUUUCUUCCAACAACUGAUCGUUGGUCUAUAAGUUUUGCUUGUCUGUUUUGAAAACUAGUUGAUUAUUUCUUGUUAGACCAUCACAUUAUCAAUUUUAAUACCUAGGCCAGUCUUCAAAUUUAAAAAGAAAGGUCUAUUACAUGUGUCAGUCAGAUGCAGAACAUGGAAGAAUUUUUUAGAGUUUCAGUCUCCUUUGGUGUUCAGCGCUGCAGAACUAUCAUAUAAUACCAUCAGGUUUAAUUAAGUAAACCGAAUAGCUUUGUUGGAAUUCAUCAUCACUGCAGAGAUAUACGGGAAUUGUAAUUAGCGAGAGGAAGGAAUGAAAGUUAGAUUAUUGAUAAACAACGUAUUAGCAGCAGAUGAAACCUAAACUUCUUAAAGAUUUGCCAUCUCAUCCUAUUUAAAUUUCCCUGCAGUUUAUUUGUCUUAUUAGUUAAUUACGAAGUGGACUGACCGUUCGCUUUUCAUGUUCAACAACUCUAUCUAAUGUUUUAUCAGGUCCCCUCCCCCUCCUAAUGACAAAAAAUGAUCAUUUAUUUAUUUUUAUCAUUGCAGCUUUUGGGAAAGCUACUUUGACUGUUUAAUGGAGCGUUCUGCAAACAAGUAAGAGUUUUUUAAGACGUGUUCUGCACUUAUGAUCUAUCUGAUUGCAAGAGUGCACACUUGUGUGCUCUGUCUGUAAGUUUAAACAUGUCAUUAAUUGGAUGGGUUUUUGGGUGCACAAAAUGCAAAUUAUAGUAAUUAGAUGUUCAUAGCCUUAUAGGUGGUAUUGCCCCACUGGGUGGUUUGUCAUGUUUGAUUUGUUGAAUGAAUUUAUUCGACCAUUUAAUUGGAGUCGACGCAGUACAAUUUGGUCCGAAUAUCUUUCAGUUCCUACUCCCAUCCACUUCCUUCUCUUUUUUCUCUUUUUUUUUUUUUUUAAUUCUUUUUUUUUGUUACGGAAACUAAGACUUACCAGGAUAUGAGUGCAAAAUUCAUUAGGUCAUGAAAAUACCAUUUAUUUUGAACACCAAGAAUCCAAUUAGUAAGGUCUGACAGUAAAAUGUACCAUGACACAUGAGCAUACCUUUUGAAUAUAUCUUUAUCCUUUGUUUUCACUUAGAUCACUUCUGUACCACAAUAUUAUUUACUCUUCCUUUUUAGUGCUCAAGAAACAAGAAACUUCUAUAGCACCAAGAAAUGUUAUCUUUUUCUCUCUUUUUUUUGAAUAAGUAACAUGUUGUCUUUUGCAAAGUAGUAUUUGCUUACUGUGAUCAUCUAUUGUUACUUGUUACAUCAGGUCGGCCAACUAUGCCUCUUUGGUGACUGAUCAGCUAUCUUUGGUGGAAUUACACAUGGUUCUGUAUUUCUUUAUUUAUACUUUUUCUAGCACCUCAUAAUUAUUUCCUUUACCUUUUGCAAUAUGAGCAUAAAUGUGACAUAAUAUAUUCUUUUGGUUUAUAUCAUCAUGAAGGCCGGACUGGGACUUCCUGAUCUUGAUGCAUGGUACAUGAUUGAAACAAUAGCUGAGAAGAACAAUAUUGGAUACACACAAUUUGUAAGUAAAUUUUUAGUUCCUGUUGGUUUCUACUCAAGUUACAAUAGUAUCUUUGUGUUUUAUUUUAUUUUAUUGCCCCUCCCUCUUCUUUAACUUUUCCACUUUAAUUUAUAUGCUGAAAUUUCUUGGGUUUACUAAUGCAUAGCUGAUGAUGUUCCUUACCUUUUUCUCUGGUUUUCAGAUAAAGCUGAGGGGGUUGUUGUCACAUGUUCAACAACUGCGGAUUGGUUACUGGGGAAUCAGUUCUUUCAAGGCCCAAUCCAUGUCUCAUGGAUUAGCAUCUCCACGUUCAAAAGACGCCACAGUUGAGAGUCAGCAACCUGCCGAGGCCUCUGGUGUUGGGAGGAGCUGGGUUCAGAGCAUGUUCAGCAGGGAUAAUUCAGCCAGACUCAACUCUUUCAGUCGUGUUCGCAAAUGGACUGAUGGUGGCUCUUCAGGUAUUUUAGUUACUAAAGUUAGUUGCUUGUGUUUUAUGUUUGAUUCAAUUAUCUCCAUCUGGAUCACCAUAAUUUCUUGUCAUUAAGCUACAAAUGAAAAUGGGACAUCCCGGAAGCGAGAAGUAUCAGCAGCUGGACAGAAGAAAACCCAAACCAAUGUUCGAGUACUCCGAGGUCAUACUGGCCCAAUUACUGCUCUACAUUGUGUAACAAGGAGGGAAGUUUGGGAUCUUGUGGGUGACCGUGAAGACGCAGGUUUGUUCAUCAGUGGGAGCACAGACUGCACGGUGGGCUUCGCAUCUUUAGUUGCUUCUAUUAGACAAUUCCAUUGCACAAGAGUCUCUCCUGUAAGAGUAUUAUUAAUUCUUUCAGCAAUCUUUCAGGUUAAGAUCUGGGAUCCUAGUUUUCGUGGUAACGAACGUCGGGCAACUUUGAAAGGACACACAAGGUUACUCUUUUUAUUAUUUUAUUGUUAUUUCUAUCAUUAUUGUCUUCUUUAAUUUAUACACUAUUGUUAUUAAUUUGGUUAUUUCAUCUGUUCCCACACACGUGUGCAUUUGUCAAUGCCAGUGGGUGCCAUUCGGCUUUACUAUUUGCUGUAAUGACUAAUCAAAGUUAUAGGUUUGUUUCCUUCCUCACAUAUUCUUUUGGUUUUGGCCUUAUUGCAGAACCAUUCGUGCAAUAAGUUCGGAUCGAGGAAAAGUGGUAUCUGGAUCAGAUGAUCAAUCUGUUUUAGUAUGGGAUAAGCAAACUACUCAGCUUCUGGAAGAGUUAAAAGGCCAUGAUGCACAGGUGAGCUUACUUAUUUGCGUCUUACAUUACUAGAGGUCUAUGCAUAGCGGACAGUAUAAUUGACAGUAGGCAACAUUUUUCGUAGGAAUACAUGACCAUUAUUUCCAUCAGCAUGAAUAUGUCAUACUAGUAAUACAUGGAAACUUAGUAUAUGUUGUCGGUCCUUGUAGAUUAGCUGUGCUCGCAUGCUGUCAGGGGAACGUGUUCUUACUGCUGCUCACGAUGGAACUGUUAAAAUGUGGGAUGUUAGAACUGAUACUUGUGUGGCAACUGUUGGUCGUUGCUCUAGUGCCGUCCUAUGCAUGGAAUACGAUGACUCCACAGGAAUCCUAGCUGCUGGUGGUAGAGAUGCGUAUGUACAUUGAAACUGACAAUGAUCCAAUGCCUUUUUAAAUUUUGAAAUAAAAUAAUUUGUCUAACUAAAUUCUUUGAAAUUAAUCCAUUGGGUUUUUUUAUCAGCAUUGCUAACAUCUGGGACAUUCGCGCCGGUAGGCAAAUGCACAAGCUUCUAGGGCACACAAAAUGGAUCCGGUGAGCUAAAGAAGCAUACUCUUUUUUUAUUUUCUUUUAUUUUUUUUCCUUUUCCUUUUUAUUCUUGAUUAGCAUCAAGUAAGCGAGAUAUUAUUUCCAAUAAUGCAGGUCGAUUAGAAUGGUGGGGGAUACAGUGGUUACUGGUAGUGAUGAUUGGACUGCAAGAAUGUGGUCCAUUUCCAGAGGAACAUGUGAUGCUGUUCUUGCAUGCCAUGCUGGUCCAAUAUUAUCCGUUGAGUACUCCCAACUUGACAGAGGAAUAAUCACAGGUAUGUAUUGUAUGCAACACUUCUAUUAUAUACACUACUCUGGUUUGCAUGAUAUAUCAUUAAUUUUUUUAGGUUGCUUUUUGGUACCUCACUUUUCACACUUGUACCAAUAUGAAUAAGAACUGUAAUAUCUGAUCUCUGGUUCCAGGUUCAACGGAUGGCUUACUUCGCUUUUGGGAAAAUGUAGAAGGUACAUUAUCAAUCUUUUGAACCUUGCAUUCUCUCAUUCUUUGAUAUGAAUAUUACAUGGGUUUAGUCUAGAUAUUUCUUUUCUCCCACAUAAAAAAAAAAAAAUACAGAUAUUUACUUUUUCAAUAACCGGAAGCAGAGGGAUAAGUAAUAUUCACGUCAAUAUGUAAAUAAGUUAGCGAAACUAAUAAGUCCAGUCUAUCACUCUAUCCUGGUAAUCGACUUUUCAUCUAGAGACCCCUAAAUGGUGUUUUUGACUUGCCACUAGUGUAAGGUGAUAUCAUGUACUUGUUAAAAAAUUUAAAUGUUUAUCAAUGAAUUUGAGUAGUACUCGGUAUUAUUUUAUGCUUGUAUAUGGAUGUUGACUGUUGAACAAGUCAAUUGAUAUUUAUGCAUGUUCAGAAAGCUAUUGCUAUGUUUUGGGAUGAUUGCACCGAAACUGAACAUUAUGCUAGAUUCGGUUUAUUUUUCUGCAUGGAACUAACUGUUAUUUAUAUGCAGGAGGCAUAAGAUGUGUAAAAAAUGUCACUGUUCAUACUGCUGCUGUAUUGUCCAUCAAUGCUGCGGAACAUUGGUUAGGAAUUGGAGCAGCUGAUAAUUCCAUGUCUCUUUUUCAUCGGCCUCAAGAGAAACUUGGCGGCUUUUCUAAUACGGGAUCAAAAAUGGCUGGGUGGCAACUAUACCGAACACCACAAAGAACAGCUGCUGUGGUACGCAAUAUCCUCAGCGUUUUGCUUUCCACUGCAUUGGGUCGACAUCAAUCUUAGAAGCAUAUAUUCCUUUUGAUUUCUUUCCGAUCAUAAUAGUUGGUUGUUUUACCAUUAUGCAUUUGUGAUGAAUGUUGAGGCAGAUAGUUUAUUGAUUGGUGGUUGAUGAUUAGUUUCUUCCUACCUUUUGCUAUGCAGGUAAGAUGCGUUGCUACAGACCUCGAGAGAAAAAGGAUAUGCAGUGGUGACCGCAAGGGCCAGCUUAGGCUGUGGGAAGCCACUAUAAACAUCUGAGUCUUGCAUUUGUGUAUUUUAUUCGAAUACGAAUUGAGAAUGUCAUAGCCUCAUAGGUACUUCUGAAAACAAAGAAGUGAAAGAACAAUAUGUGAAAUAUAUCAAAGUUGUAUGUUUGUAAUUACUUACGGUAUUUCCAAAAAAAGGGAACAGGGGCUGUUGUUGCCGCCUUUAAUGUAGUAUAUGAAUGGUAUACAGUAUUCUCGCGCAGUUAAUAGUGUAUUUUCAUGUCAGUAUGAUGUCUUUCAUUACCGUAAUUCCUUUUAUUUUCUCGGAUUUUUUUUUUGUGUUUAGGUUUGAAGCCGGAAGCAGCUCAUAUAAUUGAAAGUAGAACAGGAGGUAAAUGAAAUUAAACCAGAACAAAACAUCUUUGUAUUCACAUCCAUCGUAAAAAUGAAUUGACACUAUCCCACUUCACUACCACUCCUAAUUAGGAUUCAAGUGCAUGUGUUACCAAAAAAACGCAUACCAUAACACAAAGCAUAUCAAUCAUCAUAUACCAACAAGACCAUGUAUAAUGUUGAUAAUGCUGAUACGAGAAGAGACCUAUCACAAAAUUUGCCUUCCUCAGUUGCCCGUCAUUCUCUGAGGCAUUGGAGGUGUGACCACUGUACCUUGCCUCUUUUUCUGCAGCCUCUGAAGUUGCUCCAUGUUUCCUACCCAUCCUAAAGAAGGGUCGAGGCCUCUGAGCUCAAGCUCCCUGUGUUCUUGGCACAGAGCACACAGCUCGCAUAAGACGUGGAUGAUGCAGUCGGGACCGGGGCUUUCCGGCAGGUCAAGCUUGUUCCUUAGUUUUCUCCGGUAUGUGCAGGACAACAAGCAUGGCACCAUGAUGAAGAACCAGAUGAUCAUGUAUAGUAAAGCAUUACAACUACAAGCUGCAUGCAUGGCACAAUAGAUGAAAGUGAGCCAUGAACUAGAUCAAACUGAUCGAAAUAUUACUCAUUGUAAUUGCACUAGUACGUUAAGAAAUCAAGAUAAUUUCAAAUGCAAAACACUUACAGGUUUGGCCGUUAUCUACAAUCUCUGCAAUCUGGCCAAACGUCCAACACGGGCAUAUCAUUGUCAUGAUAGCUGAAAUAUACAAUGAAACAUUCAUGAAUUAUAUUCCUGCGCAUAUAGAAGAAAAAAAAAAAAAAAACACCCUAGCUAAUGAAGUAAUCCAUUAAUUGAUAGAAAUAUUACCAUUGGGGGGUCAAGAAAGCAAUCGCAUAGCCCAGUUUUCCAAGUAGUACCCUCGCCGCUGCUACCUGACUGUGGCAUGAGCACCGGUACGUAUUGUAUAUUUUGCAUCAUGGGUAUACCAGUUGCUGCAGAAUUAUUGUAAUUUACAUAGGGCUGGGGAUUUAAAGAAUUAGAACGAUAAUUGUAGGCAGCUGGAGGAGGGUACAUUACUACUUGCUGUGAUCCACUAUAAAAAUUGUGCAAAGGUUGAGGAGGAGGCCUAUAGUUGUUUAAAGGUUGAGACUGAUAAAGAGAAGGAGGAGGAGGAGAAGGAGGAGGAUAUAAGGAGGUCGGAUGUGGCCGUAAACCUGGAGGCAUUGCCUGGAAAGGGUGUGGAGGCUGGGGGUUAUUCGGCGUUGGGAAAUAGUAGUGCACGUUGUGAUCAUAAGGCAACGGCGGUGCUUGUUGAUGCGUUUGAAUUGCUUGACUUUCUUGGGAAUUAGUGGAGGACGUUCGGGUGUGGCCUUGUUCUUGAUGCUCAUGAUCAUUUUCUGCCCUGAAAACAUAGGUCUGGAUAUUACUGGGGUUUGGAGACGAAACUUGUUGUUCAGGCUUCUCGGAAUCUUGUAAUUCGCAAUGUGUUGGAUGACAUGCCUGGUUGGAACUCGACGGUUGAUGAUCUUGAUCCGCCUCAGGACGUCCCAUGAGGUCAACACAGUACCUCAGGACGUCCUAUGCUGUGGAAGGAAGAGGGGGUUACAGCAUCAAUAGACCCAAUGGCCAACAAACCCCCACACCUCUUUUAUAUACGAAAGAGAGAUCACGGACAGCCUUUCACUUUGUACAACGUAAAUCUAACCCACAAUCACAACUUUGUGCGGUAAGAGCUAGUGCAAAUUAAUAAGACCCCAACGAAGACUUUAAUAAUUCGUUAUUAGGAAAAUAGAUUAGCAAUGUCCAACCUGUUUCCCAAAGAGAAAUACUAAUGUCCAGCCUCGCAAUUUGAAUCGUUCAAUUAACUUAUCUAUUAAGACUUUUGUAGACAAAUUAUACAUUACCAAAACAAUAGCUUCAUAAUAUUCAUGUAAAUGAAAAAAAGGCAAACCGUUCAGAAUAUUACAAGCUGGAUGAACCUUAUUAGUUAUUAGUAACUGAAAACAUCGAUCACUUGAAAAAGAAAAAGGUAAAAGAUAUAUCUUGGCCUUAAAUCAAAUUCUCAACGGGAGUAUCAACCGCGAUUGAUCGAUCACCUCAUCAUUUGGUUCAUUGGAGGCGUCAUCAUAUUAGGUUGUUGCUGCUGCAUGGCCCUUGCCACAUUUCCUUGCCAUCCUAUAGAAGGGUCUAGCCCUCUCAUAUUAAGUUCUCUGUACUCUUGGCAAAGAGAACAUGGCUCACAAAACAAAUGGGUGGCCCAGUCAGGUGCAGGGGUCUCAACUAGCCCAUACUUGCUCCGAAUCUUCGUCCUGUAGGCGCAUGACAUUAUGAACGGCACCCAAAGGAAGACACCAACCAAGCCGUAGAGCAAUGCACUCGUACCACAUGCUGCAAUACGUCACACAAUUAGUGAAUCAAUUCAGACAAGAAUCAAUGACUUAGUCUAUAUAUCGCACUUGAAAAUUGUGUGAAAUUAAUGAUACAGAAAGAACCUAAUGUUGUAAGUAAAAGAAGCAUUCGUGACCAAAUUUGAUGCAUUUUCACUUACAGGUAGUUCCAGAGCCGGCCCUGGGGUGGUGCGAGCUAUGCGGCCGCACAGGGCCCCCGGCCGGCAAGGGGUCCCCUUUUUUUUUUUUCGUUUUGGUUGGUAAGGUGUAGUAUAUAUUAUAAUUAGUAGCCAUAUACAUGAACUGUAAGUAGUUGAGUUGGUGAGGGCCCUUCUUAUUUCCUUUUGCAAAUAGGUCAUAGGUUUGAUUCAGUGCUAUUUCAAGGGUGUUUUUUUUUUUUUUUCAACACAAAGGGCCCAAUUUUUUUUUUUGGCACAGGGCCCCUCUAAACAUUGGGUCGGCCCUAGGUAGUUCCAUUAUCCACAACUUCUGCUAUCUGGCCGAAAGUUAAGCAUGGUACGAACAACGUUAUGAGAGUUGAAAUGUCACGAGAGUUUCUAUCAAUGAUCGUGAGUAAAUAGUGAUUAGAUAAAUAAUGGACAGAGUUAGAAGAAUAAGAUGUGAUUACCAUUAUUAGGAUCAUCCAUGCAGUCAAAGAGGCCAGUUUUCCAAGCCUCAGUGCCAAUGGGGUUCAUCAUAUUCAUAGUCAUAGGCGUUCCCUGCGGACCGUAAGGGCCUUAGGUUGGAACUCCUUGAGCCGGAGCAGGAGCAGUCCCAUAAUAAUUCUGCUGUUGUUGCUGCUGCUGGUAGUACUGUUGGGGUGGCUGAGGCUUAUUAUAGCCAACUUGCACCGGAGGUGGCGCCUGAUUCUGCUUUGAAGGUUGGGGAAUGCCGUUGUAGCCUUGAGGAGGCUGAGAUGAAGCUGCUGCAGGAGGAGGAUAUUGCGCCGGAGGAGGUGGGUGUCCAAAAGGGUGGUUAUGUUGGUUUGGCGCGCCAUUCUGUGGUGGAUAUUGUUGAGAUGGCGGUUGAGCUUGAAACUGAGGACUUUGUGGUGGGAACUGUUGUGGAGGAGGAGGCUGGUUUGCGUAGUUUUGGUUUUGUGGGAUCUGAGGAGGAAAUGGCGCAGGCCGAGGCGGCUGUGGAGCCAAGUAUUGGAUCGGUCGCGGUGGUUCUUGUGGUGGGAAUUGUACAGGUGACUGAUAAGAUGGCGGUUGUCGCGGCGGCUGCUGCUGCUGGAAGAACUGUGGUUGCUGUUGGCCUCCUUGUGGUGAUGGUUGUGGCUGAUAUUGCUGUGGCUGCUGCUGCUGCUGGAAGAACUGUGGUUGUUGUUGGUCUCCUUGUGGUGGUGGUUGUGGCUGAUAUUGCGUUAGCUACUGCUGCUGUUGGUUUUAGUCGUAGUUUCCAGUAACGUCAAUAACAUCUGCGGCUUGUACCUCCACAUGAGCUUCAGGUUGAUCACCGUGGUAGUGGUCUUCGUAAUCCGGAGUAUGAUGAUCCUCCUCCAUAUUAGUACAGUACUCUUAGUUCAGACUUGUGUGAGAGAGAGAGAGAGAGAGAGAGAGAGAGAGAGAGAGAGAGAGAGNNNNNNNNNNNNNNNNNNNNGAGAGAGAGAGAGAAGAGGAAGAAGGAGCUAGCUGCUUUGGGAUGAAAUGACUAAUGCAUGCCAUACAAUUUAUAUAGUACUGAACUAUACUAGGGCUAUGUGUAGAAACUGAACAGCAACAACAAUAUCACACCAGCAAUACAAACACCAGAUGGAAUAACACUACAGCAAAUCAAUCACACACACACAGAUGAGAAGAGUUUUUCUGGAGCAUGAAUUGUUCUUCUGUUCAUUCAAACAAAACUUAGUACAUCAGCAGCUAUAUAUAUAUACAACAACAAAAGGUCUAGAGCAACCAAGUUGCACAAGUUGCUCCAAUUUAAAAAUACACAAAAACUAGAAGUCUCCAUAAGUGGAAGACUCCAGACAAAACUAAAUCACUUAACAAAGUUACUGCUAUGUAGGAGUUAAAAAUAUUUACCUAAGGCUUGGUUUAUUAUCCUACAUUGCCUCCCUUAAACCAAGCCAAGAUCUUCAAACUUUAUCAUCCCCAUCAGCUCCUUCAGCUUUAAGAAAGCUGCAGCAUUAAGAGGCUUUGUAAAUAUAUCAGCUACUUGUUCUCCAGAAGGACAGUAGUGGACUGCAAUUUCUUUGUUCUUCACCAAAUCUCGAAUAUAAUGAUUCUUGGCAUGGAUAUGCUUUGUCCUCUCAUGGAAAACUGGAUUCUUGGACAAAGAAAUGGCUGAGUUGUUGUCACAGAAGAUUGGUGUAGGUCUCUUCUGUUCUUGAUGCAAGUUUUGAAGAAUUCGUCGCAGCCAAAUUGCAUGAGUAGCACACCUAUUUGCUGCAACAUACUCUGUUUCAGCUGAUGAAAGAGCUACCACUUGUUGCUUCUUGGAUGACCAACAUAUUACCCCAGAACCAAUAUCAAAAACAUAACCUGAGGUGCUCUUUGCCUUCUCUUCUCUUGCCCAGUCACUAUCUGUAUAGCCAACAAGUUCAUUCACACAGUUAGUUGCAUAGAAAAUUCCAUCACUUUGAGUUCCUUUGACAUAUCUCAAUAUUCUCUUUGCUGCCUGCAAAUGUGACUGACGAGGAGCUUCCAUAAAUCUGCUAAUCAAUCCAACUCCAAAUGUGAUGUCAGGCCUAGUAGCCGUCAAGUAAUGCAAACUCCCAACAAGCUGCUUAUACCAUGUGGGAUUAACAAACUCUCCACUUCCAUCUUUCUUCAACUUCAAUCUCUGCUCAACCGGAGUCAUGAUUGAAUUGCAAGACUCCAUUUUAAAACGCUUGAGAAUGUCUCCAGCAUACUUCCUCUGAGAAAUAAAAAUCCCUUUCUCAGUUUGCACCACUUCAAUACCAAGAAAGUACGACAUCAACCUCAUAUCCGUCAUCUCAAAAUGAGAUGCCAAAGCCUCCCUGACUUCUCCAACUAGCUUUGAAUUAUUACCAGUGAUAAUAAGGUCGUCCACAUACAAGCACACAAUAAUAACAUCUCCCUCCAUAUUAGUCUUAACAUAUAAUGUAUGCUCAUAUGGACACCUUUCAAACUCAUUCUCCACAAAAUAGGAAUCAAUUCGGGUGUACCAAGCUCUAGGAGCUUGUUUAAGACCAUAUAAAGCCUUUUUCAGCUUAUAUACUUUCUCCGAUUGACCUUCCUUCACAUAUCCAAGUGGCUGCUCAAUAUAGACUUCCUCCUCAAGAGUUCCAUUCAAGAAAGCGGAUUUAACAUCCAUUUGAAAUAUUUUCCAACAAUUAUGAGCAGCAAGAGAAAUCACUAUUCUCACAGUAUCAAGCCUAGCAACAGGAGCAAAAACUUCAAGAUAAUCAAUACCUGGUUUUUGCUUGUAGCCUUUGGCUACCAAUCUUGCUUUGUAACGAUCCACGUCUCCAUUAGGCUUGUACUUAGUCUUAUACACCCAUUUGACUCCAAUAGCUGUCUUUCCUUCCGGAAGUGGAGUGAGCUCCCAUGUGUCAUUCUUUUCAAUAGCAAGAAGUUCAUCAUCCAUCACCUUGACCCAAUGUUGUUGUUGACAAGCCUCAUCAUAGGUAAGAGGAUCACAAUCUGCAUACGAGGCAAAAUUGACAAUAUCUUCAUCUGAUAUGCUUCUCCUCUUGGUCUUCAUCUCAUAAUCUUUCAAGUAUGGUGGCAAACGACGAUCACGUUGAGGCCUUGCUGUUGCAACUUCUAGCGGAGGCUCAGCUUCUGGAACUUCACCUGCUGCUGCUGGAGACUCAGGUUCUAGAACUUCUACUGCUGGAGACUCUUCUGGAACACCAACCAACUGACCUUCUUCAAUUGAUUCAUCCUCCAAUCGAAUGAAUGUUGUUGGUUCUUUUUCUUUUGAACUCCAAUUCCACGCACUUUGCUCAUCAAAAGUGACAUCUCGGCUAAUUAUCACCUUCUUCGUCACCGGAUUGAAAAGCUUGUACCCCUUUGUCACCGUGCUAUAGCCAAUAAAAAUGCACUUUUCAGCUUUAUCAUCAAGCUUCUUCCUUAUUUGAGCUGGAACAUGAGCAAAUGCGAUGCAACCAAAUACCCUCAAAUGAUGAAUGUUGGGCUUCUUACCACUCCACACUUCAUACGGAGUAAUUCCACCAGUGAUUCUACUAGGAGACCUGUUCAGGAUAUAAACUGCGCAACUAACAGCUUCUGUCCAAAAAUACUUAGGCAAAUUUUUCAAUUUCAGCAUGCAUCUCACCAUAUCCAUAAUGGUUCUAUUUUUCCUCUCCGCUACGCCGUUUUGCUGAGGCGUAUACCUUGCUGUGAGCUGAUGUUUAAUACCAUUUUUCCUCAAGAAGUCAUCACAAACUACAUAUUUUGUGCCUCGAUAAGUUCUCAACACCUUUAUCUUUUCUCCACUCUGCUUUUCAACAUAAGCUUUGAAGGCCUUAAACGUAUCACAUGCCUCAGACUUGUUCUUCAAAACAUACACCCAUGCUUUCCUGCUAAAAUCAUCGAUAAAAGUGACGAAGUAUUUGGCACCUCCAUAUGAGGGAACCUCAACAGAACACAAAUCUGAGUGGAUAAUCUCAAGGGGCAUAUUUGCUCUCAAGGCCUUUCCUAUCGGAAAGCUAUCUCUAUGCUUCUUUCCAAGAACACAAAUCUCACAAACUUGGUUUGGAACAUGAAUAGGGGGCAAUCCAGAUACUAAACUUUUUCUUGCAAGGAAAUUCAAGCUACUAAAAUUUAAAUGCCCAUAUCGCAUAUGCCACAACCAAUUAUCACCAUUUGCAACAGAACUAAAGCAAGGUAACUUAUCAUACUGCAUAAGUAAUGGAAACAAGCGAUUAGGAGUCAUAGUUACCUCUGCUAUUAGUUUCCGUUGAGGAUCUUUGAUGGUGAAAACUCCUCUGUAGAUGCGCAUAUCAUACCCCCUCUCUGAUAAUUGACCCACACUAAGCAAGUUGUGAUUAAGGCCAGACACAUAAUAUACAUCUGAUAUGGUGUUGUACAUCCCAUUCUUCAACUGUAUAAAGAUCUUGCCUUUUCCUUUAACUGGCAUCCUUGCAGCAUUCCCAAAUGUAAUCUCAGCUCGUAUUGACUCAUUCAGCUCAACAAACAACUCCUUAUGCCCGGAUAUAUGAGUGCUGCAACCUGUGUCCAAGUACCAUGUAAUUUGUUCUCCAUUACUCAUUGCACUAAAAGCCAUCAACAAAGUCUCCUCAUUGAUAUCAUUGUCUUCUGCAAACUUGGCAUGAAACUGCUUGUUCUCCGGCCUUCUCAAGUUGCACUCAUUCUUGUAAUGACCAUAACCAUGACAAUUAAAGCACUGGACAUUCGAUCUAUCUCGUCCUUGACACCAAUGGAAGCCCCUUCCUCUUCCUCUUCUUGCUCCAAAUCUGCCCUGUGAACCUCUCUUGUAACUUGAACUUUGAUUCCUUUGAGUUGAGCUUGACUCACCACGUGGCGACCAAUUUCUUUCCUUCUUGAAGCUUAAUUGAGUCUGCAAUGCUUCUUCAAUCACCAUCUCUGACUUCUCAUUCAGCCUUUGUUCAUAGGCCUGCAAGGAACUCAUUAAAUCAUCCACCGUCAUAGCAUUGAGAUCUUGUGACUCCUCAAUGGCUGUGACUUUUCCUUCAAACCGCUCCGUCAAGGUUCGAAGAAUCUUUUCCACAAUCUGCAGCUCUUUGAUAUCCUCCCCAUUGGCUUUCAUUUGAUUGACAAUAGCCAAUGUUCUUGCAAAGUAUUCAGAGAUGCUUUCCUUCUUCUCCAUCUGAAGAAGCUCAAACUGUCGCCGUAGAGUUUGCAAUCUCACCUUCUUCACUUUAUCUCGCCCAACAUAAGUAUUGAUCAAACAAUCCCAUGCCUCCUUCGAUGUUGUAACAUGUGCAAUCUUCUCAUAAACUUCAGAAUCAAUUGCUCCAAAUAUAUACAUCAGGGCUCUGCAAUCUUUCUUCCUAUUUCGAACCAAUUCUUCUCUUUGAUCUUGUGUGAGAUUUGCUUGGUCUCCUGGAUCUGUAAAUCCAUUGAUCACCAUCUUUGUGUACUCCAUGAUUUUGAAGAAGAGUUCCAUCUGCGAUCUCCAAUGCUGGAAGUUUCCUUUCCCAUCAAAUUUCCCAACUGGACAUUGAGGAAAAUCAUUCCCCCGAUUUGCCAUCAAUCUCUACACUUCUCCAAUUUGAGCGUACCUGCUCUGAUACCAGAUGUAGAAACUGAACAGCAACAACAAUAUCACACCAGCAAUACAAACACUAGAUGGAAUAACACUACAGCAAAUCAAUCACACACACACACACACACAGAUGAGAAGAGUUUUUCUGGAGCAUGAAUUGUUCUUCUGUUCAUUCAAACAAUUUUAGUACAUCAGCAGCUAUAUAUAUAUAUAUACAACAACGAAAGGUCUAGAGCAACCAAGUUGCACAAGUUGCUCCAAUUUAAAAAUACAAAAAAACUAGAAGUCUCCAUAAGUGGAAGACUCCAGACAAAACUAAAUCACUUAACAAAGUUACUGUUAUGUAGGAGUUAAAAAUAUUUACCUAAGGCUUGGUUUAUUAUCUUACACUAUGUGAUCCAGCAAGCAAGCGAUUUCUUGUUUUCUUUUUGGGGAUUGUAGCUAGUCAAAAUCAAAUUAUUAGAAGGUGGUGUGUACUGUGUGGUAGUGGGGGUGUCGGGACCGCUCUGUUCUGCGAUACGCGUUUUGUUUGACGAUGAGCAGUGAAAUUGAAACUGCAAUUAGACCCGUUAGAUUAAUUCAAUGGCCGCAACUGAGCAAAGCCCGGGCAGUGGUGGUGGUGGAAUAUAUUGCAGAUGCAAAAGUGGUUUACUUUGGAUUCUUAAUUUCCACGUACCUACCGAGCUUCAUUGAGUGAUAUCUUGCUUGCUGCAGAGAGUAGUCGACUUCUCUAUAGCUUAUUUAGCACGGCCGCGCCGGAACUUGACCUAGUUUAAAUCAUAACUUUGUAUUAUUAUUGGUUUCAGAUAAAUCAUUAGUCCCACACCAACCCCAACCCCAAUGUGGUUUAUAUAUGUAGUCGACUAGCUAAUUCCAAACUCGACUGACUUCGUACAUUUCUAUCAAUGAAAUUUCAGGUAUUGGAGUAUUGGUAAUAGGGGAUGUUUUAGAAUUAUAGUUCAUGGAAGAAAGUAGUGAUAUAUGAGAACGUGAUGCACCGUUCAUACUCAUUUUCGGCCAUUGCUGCCUUCAAUAUUGCCCACUUGUAUCUUAAUAAAAAGACCUCUACAGAUCGUCGAUAUAUCUUCGACAUUUCAUUUCUGAGGCUAGCUAGCUUGUUAACCAUGGUUAAGGAUUCUGAUCUUUUAAAUACAGGGGGAAGUGAGAAAAUUAAGCAAAACUUGUACCCCGGUCUCUGCUAACUUUUGUAGACAAAUUAUACAUUACCAAAACAAUAGCUUCAUAAUAUUCAGAAUAAUACAAGGAUGAACCACGACAAUUUCAUACAUGGCAUCAGCUUAUUAGUACGUAUUAGUAAAUGAAAACAUCGAUCACAUGAAAAAAAAGAAAAAGAUAUAUCUUGGCCUUAAUUGAGGCAUAAACAUUUGCUGAAAUUAACGGCAGUAUCAACCGCGAUUGAUCGAUCACCUCAUCAUUUGGUUCAUUGGAGGCGUCAUCAUAUUAGGUUGUUGCUGCUGCAUGGCCCUUGCCACAUUUCCUUGCCAUCCUAUAGAAGGGUCUAGCCCUCUCAUAUUAAGUUCUCUGUACUCUUGGCAAAGAGAACAUGGCUCACAAAACAAAUGGGUAACCCAGUCAGGUGCAGGGGUCUCAACUAGCCCAUACUUGCUCCGAAUCUUCGUCCGGUAGGUGCAUGACAUUAUGAACGGCACCCCGAUGAAGGCUCCAACCAAGCCGUAUAGCAAUGCACUCGUACCACAUGCUGCAACACGUCACACAAUUAGUGAAUCAAUUCAGACAAGAAUCAAUGAAUUAGUCUAUAUAUAUACAGAUUCUAUCCAGAUCGAAGUUUCGUGUUAAAAUUAAUGUUGCAAGUAAAAGAAGCAUUCGUGACCAUAUUUGAUGGAUUUUCACUUACAGGUAGUGCCGUUAUCCACAACUUCUGCUAUCUGGCCGAAUGUCAAGCAUGGUACGAAUAACGUUAUGAGAGCUGAAAUGUCACAACACAUUUGAACUCGUAAGCCUCAUUUACAUAUAUUUUGUGCAUGCGUGAUAAAAAAAUCUCAAUGAUCGUGAGAGGAAGUAGUGAUUAGAUAACUUAAGGACAGAUUAGAUAACUUAUAUAAGAUGUGAUUACCAUUAUUAGGAUCAUCCAUGCAGUCAAAGAGCCCAGUUUUCCAACCUUCAGUGCCAAUCGGGUUCAUCAUAUUCAUAGUCAUAGGUGUUCCCUGCGGACCGUAAGGGCCCUGCAUUGGAACUCCUUGAGCCGGAGCAGGAGGAGCCGCAUAAUGAUUCUGCUGUGGUUGGUAUUGUUGCUGCUGGUAGUACUGUUGGGGUGGCUGCUGCGGCUUAUUAUAGCCAACUUGCACCGGAGGUGGCGUCUGAUUCUGCUUUGCAGGUUGGGGGAUGCCGUUGUAGCCUUGAGGAGGCUGAGAUGAACCUCCUGCAGGAGGAGGAUAUUGCGCCGGAGAUUGUGGAGGAUAUUUUACCGGAGAAGGUGGUUGGGGAGGAUAUUUGGCCGGAGGAGGUGGUUGUCCAAAAGGGUGGUUCUGUUGGUUUGGCGUGCCAUUCUGUGGUGGAAACUGUUGAGGUGGCUUAUAAGGAGGCUGCUGAGCUUGAAACUGAGGAGGACUUUGUGGUGGGAACUGUUGUGGAGGGGGACGAGGCUGCUGUGGAGCCAAGUAUUGGAUUGGCCGCGGUGGACCUUGUGGUGGUUGUUGUGGUGGGAAUUGUACAGGUGGCUGACGCAGCUGUGGCUGCUGCUGCUGCUGGAAGAACUGCGGUUGUUGUUGGCCUCCUUGUGGUGGAGGUUGUGGCUGAUAUUGAGGUGGCUGCUGCUGUUGUUGCUGUUGGUUUUGGUCGUAGUUUGCAGCAGCGUCACUAAUAUCUGAGGCUUGUACCUCUACAUGAGCUUCAGGUUGAUCACCAUGGUAGUGGUCUUCGUAAUCCGGAGUAUGAUGAUCCUCCUCCAUUAGCCUCUACCACACUCUUUGCUUAGAGAAAGAGAGCUCGAAAGAGGAAGAUAGAGCUAGCUUUGGGUUGAAAUGACUAAUGCCAUACAAUUUAUAUACUACUGAGCUAGCUAUACUAAUACUAGGGUUUUGUAAAUGAGCAAACAAUAAGUGUGAUUACAAACUGCUGGCUACGAUUUUCUUCUUUUCUUUUUGGGGAUUAUUGUAGCUAGUCAAACAUACAUCUGUUAUUACAAGCUUGUCACAAUCUAUAGAAUCUUAAACAGUAGUUGACAAAAACUAUAUACAUGCAUAUCUGUCUGAGAGGAUGGAAUUAUUUGUUUGACUAGUUCAAUUUCUGGAGGGAUAGUCGUGUGGUAGUGUGUGAUAGUUUUGUUCAUGGAAUAUAUAGCGGAUGCGAAGGGGUUUACUUUGACCUAGCUCCAAUGAGUGAUAUUUUGCUUCCUUGCUGCAGAGAGUAGUCGACUACUCUAGCUCAUUUAGUACGGCCGGGAAAUUGGAACUUGACCUAGCAACGAUUCGAAUUUGUGACAAAAUUUGGCUGGAUGUAUUAGUCUCCGGGGUCCUGAUCAUCAGACUGCUUAUUUAGCUAGGCAUAAUAGGUCGUUCCCGGCCACCUAGCUUCAUCGUAAUUUCCUAUAUUCAUGAGAUACGCCGGACUCUACUUAUUGCCAGGUUGAAGCCUGGAACCUAAGUAUUAGUUAAGUUUAGGCUUUAAGGUUCCUGUGUGGUGUUUAUCUAGUUUAAAUCAUAAUUAACUUUGUAUUAUUAUUGGCCAAUGACUUAAUAAGUUUCAGAUCAAUCAUUAGUCCCACACCAACCCCAACCCCAAUUGGGGUUUAUAUAUAUAGUUGACUAGCUAAUUCCAAACUCGAUUGACUUCGUACAUUUCUAUCAAUGAAAUUUGAGGUAUUGGAGUAUAUUGGUAAUAGGGGAUGUUUUAGAUUUAAUAGUUCAUGGAAGAAAUUAAGUAGUGAUAUAUGAGAACGUGAUGCACCGUUCAUACUCAUUUUCGGCCAUUUCUGCCUUCAAUAUUGCCCACUUGUAUCCUAAUAAAAAGACCUCUACAGAUCGAUAUAUCUUUGACAUAUCAUUUCUGAUCACCAUUUCCAUCUAUAUGAUCUAAUGUCAGCCCUUAUACGUGAGACAAGCUUGUUAACCAUGGGUAGGGAUACUUAAGGUCCAUUUCAUCUUUUAAAUAUCAUUCGCAUAGGAAAAGAAAACUCGUACCCGAUCUGUGCCAUUGCAAAACAGAAAUUAAAAGAUUUUGAUGCGCUAGCAAAUAAUAUGAAUUUACUCAACUACUUCAAUGAACUGAUUGCUUAGGGCAACUCCAACCAUAUAUAGUCUUGGAUUUGGAGUCCUAUAUCAAUUAUAGGACCUCUUUGUUGCACUAUUCAUUUAGGACUCAUUUUCUCAUCUCUAAAAAUUGAGUCUUAUAUGAGGUCUUAUAUUCACUUUUGUUGAUUAAAAUAAGUUAUAGGUGGUAUAUUUAUGAAUAUUAUAUUAAAUAAUAUGUUAAUAACCUUAUUAAGUUAAUAAAACUUCACAAUUUUUAUUUUUAUUACAAAAUUUUAAAUUAUUCUUAUAAUUAAAUAUAAUUAUUUUAAUUAAAAAAAUAAAUACAUACUAACUUUUUGUCGUUUUUUAUGUCGGCAUAUAUGACAAACAACCAAAUUAUUGACAGAUAUUAUCUUGUGUUGUGUCGGUGUAUACAACAAACAACUGAAUUCGGAUGUGAUUAUCGUCGCCACAUGUUAAACACUAAUUGGUUAUCUAGAUUACGGGUUAUAUUUGUCCGACACAUGUCAUAUCUUAUCUAUUGAUAUCAUCUCAAAUUGUCCAUAAAUAUGAGGUCAUUGUCAUCUUCAUUUCUCACAAAUUCACAACACUCUUCUCAUAUCAAAAUCUUCAUAUUGUUUCCUUUUGAUUUUGUGAAACUGUUUUUCUACAAUGAAUCAUUUGACAAAAUGGUUUAUGAAAGAUCAAGAAGAGGCUGUUACGAGAAACCAACGAAGAUCCAUGAUGAUGUCUGUUGCUGCCUUGCAAAUCCAAGAUCUGGAAGAUAAGGAUUCACAACAGGGUGGUUCUUCGGAAGGUCGUUCGUAUACUGUCAAAAACAGAGAGAUCAUGGAUCAACGUCUGAAAGCUCUAUACUUCACAGAUCCAUGCAGGUACGAACCAAAUAUAUUUCGUAGGCGAUACAAAAUGCAACCUUAGGUCUUUGACAAGAUGAUGCACGAUGUGGCCAACUACGAUCCAUAUUUUGUUCAAAGAAGAGAUGCGACUGGGAGAGUCAGCCUAUCCACUGAACAAAAGCUUACAUGCGCUAUGAGACAACUCGUAUAUGGGGUCACAGCCGACUUCUUUGAUGAUUACAUGGAUAUUGCAAAAUCCACUGUCAUCGAGAUUUUGGAACACUUCACCAGAGCAAUAUAGAAUGUGUACCAUGAGCAUUACCUCCGCCGACCAACACCAGCAGAUCUGCGACGGCUUCUCGACAAGGCAACAGAAAGAGGAUUUCCGAGAAUGAUCGGGAGCCUCGAUUGUAUGCACUGGUAAUGGAAAAAUUGUCCCACCAGAUGGGGAGGGCAGUAUACUGGCUAUAAGGGGAAACCAACAAUCAUCUUGGAGGCAGUAGCAUCCUAUGAUACUUGAAUUUGGCACGCCUUCUUCAGCCUUCCAGGCUCCCUAAACGAUAUUAAUGUCCUUGGACAGUCACCUUUGUUUAAUGAUGUGUCUCGUGGUGAAACUCCUCAGGUGAGAUAUGAAGUACAAAAUAGGCAUUAUGGGCAAUGUUAUUACCUUGUUUAUGGCAUUUACCCAAAAUGGGCCGCAUUUGUUCAAGCAAUCAAAAACCCGAGGACAUCGCAGACAAAACAUUUCACAAGGAUGCAAGAAGCAUACAUAAAAGAUGUGGAGAGAGCUUUUGGUAUUCUUCAAGCUCGUUGGGCAAUCAUAAGAGGGCCAGCUCAUGGAUGGAGUAAGGAGAAUCUUCAGUUCAUCAUGAUAACGUGCAUUAUCUUGCAUAAUAUGAUUGUUGAAGAUGAGCAUGAUGAAGAUGCAGCUGAGCCAUUUGAUCCGAAUGACAUUCCCACCAUACCAAAAAAGACACAUAUAUAUGACAGAAUCCCUGAUCAAGACACCUCUGUUCAUCGCAAUCCGAACAAGCUAAAUCAAUUCAUGCGUCGCUAUAGGGAGGUAAGAUGUCCAGUGAUGAAUAAAAACCUCCAGGAUGAUCUAGUUGAUCACCUGUGGAGCAUGAAGCUGCAAGCUGAUGAGAAUGACCAGUGAUGAGCUUUAAAUUUAGAGCUUUCAAUAAGUUGCCGGUUUCUCAUGGCCUUUGCUUUUGCUUUUGCUUUUGCUUUUGCUUUUGCUUUCUUGUGUUGUGUGGUGUGCAGAGAGCUUUUGUUUUUGCUUUUACUUUCUUGUGUUAUGUGGUGUGUGCAGAGAGCUUUUGCUUUCUUGUGUUGUGUGGUGUGCAUUUGCUUUUGCUUUUGCUAUUCAAUAAAAGUUAAAGGUUUUUAUGUCAAGUGAUUGCUUUUUAUGAAUGGUUAUCAUGUGUCAUAAAAAAUAAUAACUUUUUAUUCAUAACUUGAAAAAAACAUUACAACUAGAAACAAACAACAACAUUUAUUUAGGUAAAUUAAAUGGAUACUUACUAAUUGAUGAUUCUAGUUCAUCCAUUGUGUUUCAUGAACCGGAACAUAAUUGGCCAAGUUACGGUUGUCUCCUUCGGUUGGUGUUUGAUACUCGGUGGGGGCUUCAUCUUGAGGGUUCACCGGAGAGCUUGAGGUUGCUUCCUCCCUAUUAAUUAUCUCUUGUUGUCUCCUUUCCCAAUAACCUCUUUUUCUUGGAGUAUCGAACGUUGAUAGAUCAACCAUCAUAAUACGAUCAUCCGAAGCGCGUUGCUCAAGUUGCUUAAUUUGCUCAAAUUAUUGUUGCCUUUGUAGAUAUUCACGCUCACUUUGUUCUUGAGCCUUUUGCAUUUGAAUGCGUAAGCCAUCCGCAUCUUGUUGCUUGCCUUUUUUCUUUGCUAGCUUUUGAGUUUUUUGUCCUUGAGGUUGUGCUUGUCUUGUUGUGGUUGGCUCCACUUCAUCGGCUUGUGCUCCAUCUUCUUCCAAGUUGAUAGGAGUAGGAAUACUGUUCAUGGCUUCGGUGGAAGGCGUUUCCCCAAACUUGAUAGUAUUUUUCAAGUAUCGCCAACAAUGAUCAUAGACAAAAUCCGUGCCAACUUUGUCAUAGUAAAUUGACCUAGCUCUCAUGAGCUAGAUACAAAAUGAAUUAAUAUUUAUUAGUACUCAUGAGCUACACAACAAAUUAAGUAAUUUAUAUAUUACUUACACUAAAAUAUAUUGUCUUAGCAUGAGUAAAAUUAAAUGCUCAUAUGCUCAUAGUUACACACUUAGCAACCUAUCUACACCAUAAUUUUCUAUAAAUUAAAUGACAAAAAAUAAAUAAAACAUUUUGUUAACAUAUGAAUAAUAUACUUACAUCGUCUUCCUUAUUUUUGCCGCUUCGGUGGUCCACUUCGGCUUGGGUAAGAGAUUCGCGCCACUUCGUACAUAGCGGACUAAAUACAUUCCAACGAGCCUUACAACUAUCUGAUGAUUUCUCUACGCAAGUCGCCGGUUUUUGUGCAUUGUACUCGGCCGAUAUACGCUCCCACAUUGUAUCCGCCGAUUGAUUUGUUCCGGUGGCACUGUCGGUGGUGAUGGUGAUCCAAGCUUGGCAAAGAAUAGCUUUUUCAUUGUGCCUCCAUAAAUCCUUUCUUUUGCCCAUUUUUUCUCUUGGAAAAAAAAAAUUGAAGAACAAGAUAUAGUGAAUAAAUGAAAAAUUGGAAAGAGAAAAGGAUUUUGGUGUGAGGAAUUUGUGAAGUUUUGGGUUGGUAUUUAUAGAAUUCUUCAAAAAAAAGUUGCCAACGGAUCUAUAUAUUUUUUAUGUUAUUUCUGACUUUUUUUUUAGGUAAAAACGAGUUUUAUAUUAGGGUAAAAAUCCUAGGUAGUAAAUUUUGUUUCUGACCGUUGGACCUCUCAUCUCUCCCAUCACCGUCCAUUUCAAAUUGGAGAUGAAAUCAAGGCCGUUGGUUUCAUGGCCGUUGGAGCUACUCAACGGUCACAAGGAGACCGCAUCACGUGAUCUGGGGGCCAGCUGCAGCAGACUGUAGCGCUUUCUUCGCUGGAGCACACAUUACGCGCGUCGCCGUUUUGAACGCCGUUGGACCGCGCGUUUCGCUUCCUCUCUGUGCCGAGCGCGUCGCGCCUCUGACGUCUCUGGCCCAGCCCAAAAGCAAGCGGGCCUAGGUCUUGGUCCUGGAAUUGUCUCAGAUUUGAGACUGAGAAUAGGACUUGGUCCUAUAUUUCCAAAACCAGAACCCAAAAAUUUGGCCCGUUGGAGAUGAAAACUGCAUAUAUAGGACUAAAACUGGAGGAUAGAACCUCCGUUGGAGUUGCCCUUAGUCAUUGAUAGAAUUAUACACAUAUUGGCUUAUGAUUCAUUAUCUAAAUGAUCAUUAUUAGCUGAUUACUGAGCAACUGAGCAACCUACCUCUGGCAAGUCAACUUGUAGAGUUGAACUCGAGUAUUGCUAAAUAAGAAACCAAACCCAUUUGAAGAAGAUCGCUCUAUCAUCUAUGUGACUUUUCAGAGCUCAUGUUGGCUGGUCGGCUGCAUCAUAUAUCAUCUCCUCGCGGUACUAUUGCCCCAUCUCAUGUUCUAUUUGCAGAUGAUGUUAUUAUCUUUUGUCGAGGGACUAAACGUAAUUUGUCUGUGGUUUUGGAGUUCUUUGAUGAAUAUGGAACUAACUCUGGUCAAUUAAUAAGUAAGGAAAAGUCUCAAGUUUUCUUAAGCAAGCAUCUACAUGCGAGACGUCAUUCCAUUGCUGGUUUCCUUGGCAUGUCUCUUGGGAAUGCUCAUUUUACCUACUUGGGAGUUCCUAUUUUCCGAGGUAAACCUCGUUCUUCCUAUUUUCAAGCUAUUGUUGAUAAAAAUACGCUUAAAAUUUUCUAGCUCUAGCUGGAUGGGUUCUAUAUUGUCAAUGGCUGGUCGGCUCCAGUUGAUAAAGUCAGUGGUUAACAGCAUGCUUGUCUACAGUCUACAAGUCUAUGAGUGGCCAAUUUCUCUUCUUAGAAGGUUGGAGGUAUGGUGUAGGAAUUUGUUAUGGUCCGGAUCUAUAGAUAAACGAGGGGUGCCUUUAAUUGCUUGGAAGUCAUGUUGUACACCAGUUGAAGAGGGGGGUUUGGGCCUAAAGCAACUUGUGCUUCUUAAAUAUCGCUUAUUCUUAUUAAAGAAGUGUUGGGAGAUUUAUUCAUCUUCAUCAGAAAGUUGUGCUUUUAUUCGCAACAGGUUUUUACGUAAUGGUUCUCCACGUAGCUCUUAUGCCUGCUCUUCCAUAUGGUUAGGUGUGAGGAAAUUAUUUCCACGGGUUCUUGAGAAUGCAAGAUGGCUUAUUGGCUCUGGAGCUUCUGUUUCGUUUUGGAAAGAUAACUUCAUACGUAAGCCUAUUGUUGAUUUUUUCAGUAAUCAUCAUGGCUUACUUCAUCUAUUAGAAGGAAAAGUGGCUGACUUUAUCUAUAAUGGCUCUUGGACUUUUCCUCAUUUGCUUCAAUUACACCAUCCAAGCGUUUGUGAUAUGAUCAGUAGAGUUCCAGUGGCCUUGGACCCCAUGAAGCAUGAUAAGCUUAUUUGGUCUUCAUCAAAAUCUGGUGUGUUAAGUGCCAAGGAGGCUUUUCAAUUUCUACUACUUCAUUCUCCCGCUUUGAAUUGGGGAAAAUUAAUUUGGUGUAAAUUCAUCACUCCCAAAAUCUCAUUACUAGUUUGGAAGGUGUUACGGGGCCGAGUAAUUUCAGAGGACUUCUUACAAAAACGUGGAGUUUCUCUCGCAUCUAGAUGUGUUAUGUGUUGCGUACAUGAGGAAUCCUUGUUCCAUAUUUUUUUCACAUGCCCUUUUGCAGAUUUCAUAUGGCAGAAGUGGUUCUCUCACUUUCAAUUGGCUACACAACCAAACUCCUUGCUGGAUUUGUUGCAUGCAGGAAGAGGUAAUGAUCGAAGUCCUCAACUGAAAGAGCUUUGGUUAAGCUGUUUCUGUACAACUUUGUGGUUUAUUUGGAGAAUACGCAAUAAAAUCAAGUAUGAUGGUUAUUUUUGUUUGCCAUCACAUGUUUGUCGCUUAAUUAUGAGGCAUAUGCGAGCUUCCAGUUUUCUCGCCUCAGGUUGCAUGAAUAAUUCAGUCUCGGAGCUUUGUGUUUUAAAGUGCUUUGAUGUUCCUUGUAAGUCGAGACGAGCUCCUCGAAUUAUAGAAGUGAAUUGGAUUCCUCCUCUUUUUGACUGCAUCAAGAUUAAUACUAACGGGGCAUUCAAUCAUGCCUCAGGCAAGGCUGGUUUUAGGGGAGUUUUCCGAAAUUUCAAGGGUGAGUUUAUUGGUGUUUUUGCUUGUAAUUUGGACAUCCCUUGUUCGGACGCAGAGGUUAUGGCUGUUAUUAAGGCUAUUGACUUAGCUUGGGUUCGGGAAUGGAGGCAUAUUUGGCUUGAGGUUGAUUCCGCCAUUGUUCUUAACUUCAUCCAUUCCCCUCAUCUUAUUCCAUGGAGAUUUCGUGUUGCUUGGGAUAAUUGCAUGUAUCGUGUCUCGCAAAUGCAAUUUCAGUGUUCUCAUAUAUUCAGAGAAGGGAAUCAGGUAGCAGAUGCACUAGCAAACUUCGAUUUAUCUUCUUCAAGCUUGGUUUAUUGGGACUCAAUCCCCCAAUUCCUUAUGAAUCUAUGCCUUCAGGAUCAACUCGGUUUACCUCAUUUUCGCUUUCUUCACUGAUUUUCUUUCAGUGUUGCUUUCUCUUAUAGGUUAUAUUGUUUGUUCUUUGUUGGAAGGGGUUUUGUUUAGCCCCCUUCCCUUAUGUUCCCCUGACUUUCUUUUUUCUUAAUAAAUGGAGUUCAGCUCCUUUUAAUACAAAAAAAAAAAAAAAACCCCAACCCAUCAUCAUUGUUGCAUCGUCAAGCACGACAGUUAAGCAGUAUAUGAUGGCACUUAUCAAACUGGCCGGUGAUUAAUAUCAUAUUUUUCUCCAUCUAACUAUAUAUGUUUCUAGCGAAUUCGAAUCCGGAAGGUGACCCGAAUUUCUUUACAGCCGAGCCGGGAUGAUCAUAUCUCUUGUAAUGGUGAUCUUGGUGAUGAUAAUCAUCAUCUGGCAAAAAGAGAACGAUAUAUAGAAUCAGUCUAAAAUAAGGAGUUAAUAAGAUUUGAUUGUUUAUUUUCUGCCUGUUCAUGUUCAGUAGUACUCACUGUUUUAAGUGUUGUACGUCGUUGUUCCUUAUGUAUACCAUAUUUGGACAUUUAGUUAUCCUUUGGAUUCACUUUAGACUUCGAUAUGAUUGGCUUGUGUCUAUGGCUUUCUAAUGGGAAAGAAUUGUUUAAAAGAAGAAACAAUGGUGUAACUUACGUACUGUUUCAUAUCAUAAUAUUGGUUUACUAGCUAGCUACAUAGCUGGUUUGUUAACUUCAGGGUUGGCUGGUUGAGUGAGAAGUAUUAAGUAUAUCCACAGGAUUAGAAUUCCAUUUAAUAACAUCAAUCUGGUAUGAAGUAGUAGAUUGUUAGUGUUGGAGUACUCGAGAGUCGAUUCAGUCGAGAGAUACUCCAAACUCAUCUCAACUUGUUAGUUAUUUAUUUUUAACUUAUGGCUUUAUGCGGCAAUAAAGAAAAGUCUCUCUCUCUCCCUAGGGUUUCUCUCUAGGGUUUCAUAGUUUCUUUUGGCAAACUCUCUCUUCCGGUAAGAUGGCCGAUGAGGUAUCCAGAUUGACGGCAGCGCUGGCGAUCUCGGAGAAAGGCAAGGUGUCCUUUGGAGCCGCUGGGGCAGCGGCGUAUUCGGGCCAUGCCUAUGUGGUGGGACGUCUUCUCUCAUCUAAGAAGAAAGUGGUUCCAAAAUCGUUCACGGCAACGAUGGCAGCUAUAUGGGGGAAGAAAAAUCGGCUACAGAUCGGACAAGAAGGAGAUCGGUAUGUUCUUCGAUUCACUGAGAAGGAAGAAUGCGAUCAGAUCAUGAGCGGAGGACCCUGGUUCUAUGGGAAAUCCAUGUUUGCCCUAGCAAACUACAAUGGGAGGAUGGCGGCAGAUGCAGUUCCGAUCACCACCAUACUUGUUUGGGUGGAGAUAUUCGGUCUCCCUCCGGAUUUGAAGACCAAGGAGGCACUCUUCAUGGUUGGUGCAACCCGAGGGACCAUCAUCCAAACGGAUCUACCAAAUCUGAAAUGCGAUGCUAGGGCAAGGAUCCGGAUUGAGCAUCGUCUUGAUUCUCCAGUCAAGCAAGCAUAUCCUCUGAUGGUGUUCGAAUUUGGGGUAGGUAACGAUCUUACUUCUGCUUGGUUAACUUUCAAAUAUGAGAGGAUGUGUGGGUUUUGUCGGAUCUAUGGGCUGUUGGAGCAUCCGACGAGUGGUUGUCGUGGACCGCCAGAUAUGUCGACGGCUUUGAGGAUGGGUGCACCGUACCCCUAACCCUAGCAGUUCGGCUAGUCUAUCUGGUUCAUCUUUGAACCCUUUUUAGAAUAUCGGUUCACGUCCGGUGCAGACAAAAUUGGCUCCGAUGCAGCCUUUAGUGUUUAGACAGGUGGUGGAGUCUCCGCCGGUCCCAAUCUCACGGGAGAUUGCUCUCUCUACCAAGACAAUCUCAGGGACCAAGAGGAAUGCGUCCUCAUUGAUGGAGGUUGAUCUGGGCAAACGCCCUAGGGGUCCUCCGACUGUGCUUAAAGCUGUCAACGUCAAUUUGGGGCCUGUGUUGGAGCUAUCACUCCCUAAUUUUGCAGGUACUCUCAUUGUUUCUCCCCCAAAGAAACAUAAAGUUGGACGUUCGGAGGGUUCCAAGAACAGGCCAAAGGAGAAGGAUAUCCCUCUUUAGAAGCUCAAGAUUAAUGCGAAUGCAAAAAAGUUGAAGACUAAAAAGCGUAUUCAAGGUGUGAAAUGUAUGCUGGAGUUGGAAGGGACACCAGUUGUGCAGACUGAUCAGGAGAAGGUGGCAAUGGAGGAUCCCGGGGAAACCUCCUCUGUGUAGGAUGGUUCCGGGUUAGUCGGUUCUUACAAGUUUAGGGCAUGCCCAUUCCGGUUUUAUUUUGCUGAGCUUUGGUUUUUGGUUUCAGUUCCUUGAACUUUAGUUUUUGUAGCUUUUUGGUUAAUUGAACUCCAUAGUAGUUUCGUUAGAUUGCUUUCGGGCUAUCUAGCAUGGGUUUUUCUAUCGUUGCCCUAGCGAGUAAGUCAUGUUGUAACUGCUAUUUUUUUCGUUACAAUGUCAAAGGCUUUACGUCCAUGUUUCAAAAAGAAAACUUUUUAGUUAUUUGAAGUAGUCAUCAAAGAGAAUUAUCCUACAAAGCCCGGCCCUCUAAUUCUCUAUACGGGUUGAGAGCCAAACCUAACCCGCCACUCCAUUUAUUUUUUUCGGUCUGGUUAUUUUGCAAACCAAAUUCACAUUUCAAAAUGAUCUCAUAAAAAUUCAGAAAUUAUAAAUAUAUAGAGAUCGAGAUACAUAUAGUGUACGUUUAUUGCCACUCCACAAACCAUUUUACUCACCCCACACGUUGAUUUAUUGAAAUAUCAAAAUACCUUGAUGUAAAAUUACAGCAAGGGACAAUAAGUUGUUACAAAUGAUAAAUUUUUUCUUUUUGUUUUUAUCUUUUUAUUUUGGAUGAACACAAAUUUCAUAACUCCAACCCAAAUUUAUCAUAUUCGGUUGUCAGUCUGAAAACGCUCGCAUUUAACCUAAAGAUGAGGUAAACUGUUUGUAUUUUUUUUUACUCAUUAUUCUCAUGUCGAUUUUAUAUGUAAAUUCUCAUGGACAACUACUGUACCGUAUUUAUGAACAACAGAUAUAUCAAUUCAAGAAACUUAGAAGUAUGGAAGGCGUUGCUACUAGAGAUACAUUUACAGACAUUGUGCAUCUAAUUGAUAUCGACUGAUACCAUUGAGUUGUUAAAUUUGAGAGUUUUUUUUCUUUUUUUUAAACUUGGAUUUAUACUUUCAUAUGAAAUUUGUGUUUACUUGGUGAUUUUAUUUACCUUGAGUAAAUCUGAAUUUAACAAAAUAUAUGAAGAGAAUGUAGGGUGAACAAAGUAGAAUUGAGAAAAUUGUCAAUUAAAAUUAUAUGAGUGGGGUGUGAGAGAAUGUGGAGUGAGCAAAGUGGUUUGUGGGGUGACAAUAGACAUACCCUGUACGUAUAUAGCUUCACAUCAAUACCCAAUAUGAUAAUCAAUACCCUUUGGCUUUUAUGGAUCCAGAUCCUCUUAUAAGGAACCUCUCCUACUCAAAAACUACUUCCUCCUAAUAUCUAUAGAUUUGAUAGACUUGAGAUCAAGUUUCAUGUUGAUAGACUUGAUCGUAUAGACGAAUACUACUCUUUAUCGUUUCAUCCCUCUUAUUACUAUUUUAUCUUGAGACUAAUCUAGUUACUACACACAUACUCAUGGGAACAUAGAAUACGUGAUGUUCCGGGUACAAAUAAUAGUUUCUCGUAAAUAUAUACUCAUGGGUAUUUAUCUGUGAUUAUAUUCCAAUUCCAAACUUUUUGUUACUAGCAAAUCACAUAUACAUCCUCCAAAAGGAUUUAAAACACAAAUAAACCCACUUGUGUUAUUGUUAAACAAAUAAGGAUAGUUUUUAACAAUUGAAGACAAUCUUUUCUCUGCAUGUCAUGUAUCAUGAUUUAAUUUACUAAACUAACCAUAUACUAAUUAAAUAUGCUUUUAGAAGAGAAAAAUCUCUCAUUUUGAGAUUUUUCAGUAAAUGGAAUACAGUAACAUGUUUUCAAUAACUUAGUGUAGUAGCAGAGGUUAACAUUCCAGUAGAAGUAGUAGCAAAGGUUAACAACCCAGUAGAAGUAGUAGCAGAGGUUAACAUCCCAGUAGUAGUAGCAGUUAAUUCCAGUAGAAGUAGUAGCAGGGGUUAACAUUCUAGUAGAAAGUAGUAGCAUGGGUUAACAUCUCACUAGAAGUAGUAACAGGUUUUUAGUGGUUCAGCUAAUGUAGUAGCAUGUUUUGCUGGAAAACUACACUUCCAACAGAUGUAGUAGCAGGGUUUUAGUGGUUCAGCUAGUGUAGUAGCAGCUUCAGUAAGUGCAGGAACAGGUUUUUAGUGGCUCAGCAAAUGUAAUAGCAGCUUUUUUUAGUACGUACAGUAAUAGCAGGUUUUUAGUGGUUCAACUAGUGCAGUAGCAGUUACUUCCAGUAAAUACAAUCGUAGCUAUUUCCAAUAAAUGUAGUACGUAGCAGGUUUUCAGUGGCUCGGCCAAUACAGUAGCAACUACUUUCAAUAAAUGUAGUAGCAAAACUAUUUUUAGUAAAUGUAGUAGCAGGCUUUUAGUGACUCAGCUAGUGUAGUAGCAUUUAUUUUCAAAAAAAGCAGUAGCAUGUUUUUAGUGGCUCAACUAGUGUAGUACCAACUAUUUCUAGAAAUGCAGUAACAAGGUAUUAUCAGUAGGGUAGUAGCAGGCUUUUAGUGACUCAGCUAGUGUAGUAGCAACAAUUUUUAGAAAAUACAGUAGCAUGUAUUUAGUGGUUCAACUAGUGUAGUAGCAACUAUUUCCAAUCAAAAUAGUAGCAACAGAGUUCCAGUACAUAAACAUAGUAUCAGGUUUCAAUGACUCAGCUUUAUAUUCAUUUACAUAACAAUUCUUCUCUCAUGUGAAAGGCCUCUAUGAGUCGUUGGGCAGACGAACUUCAUGUCUUGAAAUUUCAAAACAAAUUGAAGCUCAACUAUAUAUACGUGCAUAAGUAUCUGAUCUAGCAGAGCCCUUUGUACAUAUGUUUUUCCAUGUCGAUAUUAUGGCUGCUAAUAAGAUUAGUCAGGCAUAUAUAUAGUUUUAUAUAUAUAUAUGGCUGCACUCUCAUUCAAUUCACUUGAUGUUUACAUCACUGCUACUGUUAUUGUUCAUAUUACUGCUACUGAGCAACAAAAUUUCUUUCGUUGCUAAUGUUGCUUACUUUACUUCCAACUGAAUGAACAACACUACAAGUGCUAAACCACAGUAGCAUCAAAUUCCCUUCCACUGGUUUCAGAUAUUCUACACAACCCAAACUAUGUUCAUAUGCAACUGCAAAUCAAAAACACAAACGAAGCACUAGCAACAUGACUCGACCAUCUCUUCUAUUUCAAUAACAACUUCAACUUGGCUCCUACCAGGUAGCCAUUUGGUUCAACGAUUUCGCCAUCAACAAGAUCAAAAACCUAACAAACAGAUAAUCCAAAACAAAAUAUGAAUCUCAGAGGUUGUACUUGUACUCUAUGACGGAGGUACCCAACCCAACCCGUCGUCACCAAAGAGCUAUGCCGCAUCUUCAACAGCUUCGACGCUCACCGGCGAGAUCCUUCAUUUGUCUCAACGAAUCAAUUGGAUCUAGAAUAUGAUUUUGGAGAGAGAGAGAGAGAGAGAGAGAGAGAGAGAGGGUNNNNNNNNNNNNNNNNNNNNAGAGGGGUUGUGCAUCGGGAGGAAGAAAGAGAGAUAUGGAUGGGUCAGUGGCAGUCCACAUAAUUUUCUAAUGGUUUGGGGAUUUUGGUCAUUUUCUAAUUAAUUUAAAAGUCAAGCUUACAUCACAUGGCUCUUGGGCCCAGGCUCAUGUCCUUAUUUGUUUAAAUCUUUUAAAAGCUAAGUUUUUAGUAUUUUAUUUCUUUUUAGGGUAGUUGUAUGUCAUUCUCUAUUUUGUUAACGGCGAAGCUCUGCAUGAACCCUAAAAGUACAAAAAUUUGGAGAGCAAGUAACGUAAAAUGUCUUAAAACCCUUAAACCCUUGGUGGCCAAGAUACCAUUUCUCUUCCAAUAAACCCUUAAACCCUUGGUGGUUUCUUAUGAUUGAAGCCGUCACACAACGCUGUAUCUCCUCCAUGAAGCCAUAAAUCCUCUCAAUUCUCAAAGGCGCCAAACCAAAUCACCAAAACCAUGUCAUCAACCUGGCAAGAACUCAAACUCCUACUCUUCUUCUCGGUCCUCCAGAGAUCGGAAGAGUACCCACUCCACCACCGCAGGUCCACUCCGGCGACCCCUUCGUCGACCUCAUGGUCUCCAAUUUCAAUAGCACCACGAUAACUCCACCCAGACCCCCAAUGGGUUUGACCGAGAACGGUUCGCCGACUUUUCUCACCUCCGGCAACCCUUGCCUUGAUUUCUUUUUCCACGUGGUUCCUGACACCAAGCCGGAAUAUUUCAACCAACAGCUCCCGGUGGCUUGGUCCCACGAUGCCCUAACCACUCUCAAGCUCAUCUGCAACCUGCGAGGUGUACGUGGCACCGGAAAGAAUGACAAAGAAGGGUUCUACACUGCAGCGUUAUGGCUCUACAACCACCACCCCAAAACCCUAGCUUACAAUGUAGCCUCGGUUGCCGCUUUUGGGUAUUUCAAAGACUUGCCGGAGAUUUUAUACCGGAUUCUAGAAGGCCAAGACAUUAGGAAGACCCAAAAGGAAGAGUGGGAAAGGAUCAAGCGCUCUUGCUAUAAGGGACCGGGUAAGGUGGACGGGUUAAGGUCACUAAAGCUCCCACAUUUACUGGGUCCGGCGGAUCAACCACCUAGAGAUGUUAAACUGAUGAGCCUUUGGAUGAAACUAAUCGCCGUCAAAUCUAACAAGAAAAAUCUCGGCGAUGGGGAGUAUAAAACUGCUCAAGAAAAAUGGGCAGCGGAGAGAGACGAACUCAAAAGUGACGAAGCGAGGGAACUGAUGCAUCAAAAGAUCAUAGACAAAAUCAAGAAUGCUGUGGCUAGGUACGUUCUGAAAGAUAAUCACCCUAUACUUCAUUUUAGAAAGAUAAAAUAUUAAGUUUACAACUUUACAUUAGUAAUUCUCCAACUGCGUGAAUAUUUUCAUUGUAUUUUCCAUAAGUACUCAAACAGUCCAUUAAAAAGAUUACAUUAUUUGCUUUAUGCUCUAAACAGAAAAAUAUGGAAAAUCUAAAGGAAGAUGAGGCAACAGGUUAACCAACAUUUGUUUGUAAUUUUCUAAUCCUUUUUAUUUUUUGUUGUCUCUUUAUUAACAAUAAGGUAUGAGCAAGACUCGGAAUUGAAGUUCCUUUACGAACAAAUUUGGGAUGUGUUUGGGGACAGCUUGAAGUCCAUGGAAGCGGAGACGGAGGCAGAGAGGAACAAGAUGAUCCGAUUGAGAAAAGAAAAAUUGAGGGACAAGAGGUAUGAACGAAUGUAUGACAUGGCCAAGAAGGUGGUUUCCAGGUACCAGCAGGACUCCAAUUUCCAGUUGCUUCACGAGCAGAUAUCGGAAGUUUUCGCAGAGUGCUUGAGAUCAGACAUGGAAUGCUUGAAGAAGCACCAGAGAAACAAGAUAAGCCUCGCAGCGAAAUGGUGCCCUUCCCUAGACUCCUCCCUUGACAAGGCCACUUUGCUUUGCGAAAGCAUUGCCAAGAAGGUUUUCCCGCGGGAAUUGUACCCGGAAUAUGAGGGACUAGAGGAAGCACACUAUGCUUACAGAGUGAGAGACCGGCUGAGGAAGGAGGUUUAUGUGCCGUUGAGGAGGGCAUUGGAGUUGCCUGAACUUUAUAUGACUGACAGAGAGUGGAACUCACUUCCUUACAAUAGAGUGGCCUCCGUGGCAAUGAAGCUAUACAAAGAAAAAUUCUUUGAGAAGGACUCUGAGAGGUUUAAGAAUUAUCUGGCAGAAGUGGAAGAAGGCAAGUCCAAGAUUGCGGCCGGUGCGCUGCUUCCGCAUGACAUCAUAGCCUCUCUGGAAGAUGGGGAUGGAGGGCAAGUCGCCGAGCUUCAAUGGAAGAGAGUGGUGGAUGACUUGUUGAAGGAAGGCAAGAUGAAGAACUGCUUGGCUGUGUGUGAUGUGUCUGGAAGCAUGCAUGGGACUCCUAUGGAUGUGUGUGUGGCUUUGGGGAUGUUGGUGGCUGAAUUGACUGAGGAGCCCUGGAAAGGGAAGGUGAUCACAUUCAGUGCCAAUCCUCAGCUUCAUUUGAUUCAAGGGGAUGAUCUAAGAUCCAAGUGUGAAUUUGUGAGGAGGAUGGAUUGGGGAAUGAACACUGAUUUUCAAAAGGUGUUUGAUCUGAUACUCCAAGUGGCUGUGAAUGGGAACUUGAAGCCGGAGCAGAUGAUAAAGAGGGUGUUUGUGUUCAGUGACAUGGAGUUUGAUCAGGCUUCGGGGUAUAGGAGUGGUUAUGGUUAUGGAUAUAGAUAUUCUAGCUAUUCUGAAAGCGAAAGCGAGGAUGAUGUGUCUAAAAACAGAUGGGAGACUGAUUAUGAGGUGAUACAGAGAAAGUUUGAAGAGAAGGGGUAUGGUGAUGCGGUGCCUCAGAUAGUGUUUUGGAAUCUGAGGGACUCGAAAUCAACGCCGGUGUUGGCAACACAACCAGGGGUAGCGCUGCUGAGUGGCUUCUCCAAGAAUGCACUCAAGAUGUUCUUGGAUGAUGAUGGCCAAAUCAGGCCGAACCGUAUCAUGGAGAAAGCUAUCUCAGGGAAAGAGUAUCAACAUCUAGUUGUUGUGGAUUAAUUUUGUCAUCAUCAGUAUAAUUUCUGAUCUUGUUUUUAUGCAUGUUUCUUUUUCUUAAAUUUAAAAGAAUACAGUACCAUUUCCUUUGUUUCUGUUCAUAUUUAGACAUCAUUUCUUUAAGACCUUCACAUAGAUUGAACAGUUAUUUUCAAAUUCUCAUAAUAGAGUUGGUAUAUGUACUUUUUUUUAUUCUCUGUUCUGUUUUAGGGUUUGUUCUACUAACUUUUGUGUUUCCUUGGGUGUAUUUUGAUGUAAAUUUUUGCAAGUAAGUUGAUGCUAUUGAUAUUUGAUGUACAAGAUCACUAACUUUCAUUUCUUGUUAAUAGGUUAUGAAUCACAUAAUUAACUUCUUAAAGAUAAAAAAAAAAAUUCAAUUAUGAGACAAAUUGGAAGGAAGGAGGUGUUGGCCAUCUGGAAGAGCCUUGGAAUUAAUGACUGUUUCCCUAUGGAGAACAAUUCUUUGUUCAUGGACGACCUUCAACCUAUGUCUUAUGAAGAUUUAAGAUCGUUACUUACAAUACAUACAUGCUCGAAUGAAGAAAUAGUUGCUCGAUUGAUAGUCUUUCCAACCAAUUGUAACCUUGUGCCAGUCUUCUUUUCUCAUGAAAAAAAUCCUGAGAAAUGAAUUAGUCUUUCGAAUUUAUUACAAAUCCGAUUGGCUGAAGAAUUCAUCAACAAACACCAUUGGCUAAAAAAGUCAAUCUUCAUAGAAUAGUCGGUUUUUCUAGAGAGAAAAAAAAAAAAAAAAAAAGGAAGAAUACUCGGUUUAAAAAAGAAAAAGAAAACAAGAAAUUCAAUCAGGAAAAAUGAAGAAAUUUAGAAAACUAACCACUUUUUAAGUGAAAAUGAUUAUUAAAGAAUUUUGAAAUCUAACCAUUUUACAACACGUGAAAUGACAUGAUUACCCAAAACACAUAAUUUUAAUAGAAACAUGGUUGUGCGUGGAAGCUUCAAGUUCCUCCUAGUUGCAUCUCUUAAACCCAUAUAGCUUGAUGAUUAAAACUCAGAAGCACUAGGAUUUUGGAUUCUCACUAUAUAUGAUAUAGCUUAGUACAACACCACACACACACAUAUAUAUAUAUAUACAUAUAAUAUACAGCGGGGAUCCAAAGGAGGACGUACGCAAAUGAGUAAUAUUGCGGAUGGACACGUGCCGGCUAGAGAGAUUAACUGCAGCUCCUCCGUGUGGGUUCCAUCACAUUCUUCCUCUUUCUCUUUCGUUUUGACUACUUCUCCUCCUCUCUCUUACAUCUCUAAACCCAGAAAACAUGAACCAAUUAUGUAUAAUAAUGAUCUUUCUUGGUCUAGCUAGCAAAUCAAUUUUUCAGAGACAUGAUUUCUUUGACACAGAUUCUUCUACUAUGGUAUCAUUUUGUUCACGGCUAUCUCUUGCAUUAAAACGGGUCAUCGAUUUUGAGGUUUCAGACAAAAAACACCGAUCAGGGAAUGGGUCUAUGGGAUUAAGCUAAAGUGAUCAGUGCUUCUUAGUCCAGUCACUAUUUUGUUCGGUCAAAACCUCUCCUCCUCCGGUCAUCCUCUUUCCCAACCAUUCAAUUUGACUGAAACUUGAUCCUCCUCUCCCUCUCUCAUCCCCAAUUACAAAACCAAAAACAAUUAAAGUAGGAAUCGAAGUACAAGUCUUGAAUGGGUGGGCAUGCCUCAGCAUUCCAAAUCUUCAAUUUCUCAUCUCCUUCGACAAUUAGAGGCUUAAACUUUACAUCUUAUAUACACAACAUUCAAUUACAAAACUCAGGUUAUUAUUAACUUACCCAUUAAUUCAAACUCCACCUCCAUAUUGAAGAAUCCCGAUUAUUGAGUAAAGAAAUUUUGGGAGGAAUGAAACCCAUUGUUAUUGCUCUUCCUAGUAGAAGAAUUUGGGGCAAAGAAAAACAUAUCAUGUUUCUGGAAAGGGGAUAAUUGGUCCAUGUUUUCUGGGUUUAGAAAUGUAAGAGAGAGGAAGAGAAGCAGUCAAAACGAAAAGAGAAAGAGGAAGAAUGUGAUGGAACCCACACGGAGGAGCUGCAGUUAAUCUCUCUAGCCGGCACGUGUCCAUCCGCAAUAUUACUCAUUUGUGGACGUCCUCCUUGGAUUGCCGCUGUACAUGUGUGUGUAUAUAUAUAUAAGGCUCUUCCGUUAAGGUUUCUUUUACAUGUAUAUAUGAAGGACGGGGGAUUACACCUAUUUUUUUAUUAUAUUUUUGAAUCUUCACCGUUCAGUUUGUUAAUCUUUAUAUAUAGAUCAAUUCUGUAAAUUUUCAGCUAAUUUGGUGAUCGUUAAGAUGUCGAACAAGUUUAAAUCAAUGAACGAACCAAAUCUGCCAAACCUGAACCGUUCAUGUUUAUAAUUAUAAAUCGUAGUUUUGAAUGCCUUAACGAUCACCAAAAUUUCUGAAAAUUUGCAGAAGUGAUCUACUCAUAUUGAACUACAUAUUGAACGGUGGAGAUUCAAAAAUAUAAUUGAAAAAUGGGUGUAAUCCCCCAUCCCUCAUAUAUGUCAAAAAAAUG